Molecule: long non-coding RNA, 69032 nt
Filed under: Citrus maxima (pomelo)
Lineage: Eukaryota; Viridiplantae; Streptophyta; Magnoliopsida; Sapindales; Rutaceae
Description: long non-coding RNA (CMAX_LNC000328)
Source: RNAcentral
UCAAGAUAUGCUUGAGAGCAUAUACAAGGCUAUGAAAUAAAAUCGCUAGUUGUCAAGCAUGAGUGAGCGAGUGAUAAAUAUUCGCUGACAAGAAAGAAUUGGGUGUCUUGCAAGCACUUUAGCCAUUAGUGUGUGCGUCCACACACACACACACACAUAUAUAUACGUAUGUGUAUAUAUAUGUAUGCAUACACACACACAUAGCUAUAUAUUAAGGAAAAAGAUAGGAGGGUGGGCAAAGCCCAAGUGACAUUUGCCCCCCACCUUCCCCAAGGAUUUGACUCGGGUGGCCAGUCAAAGAAAACUGCUUAAACACUCGGCCAAGCCUCCAGGCCAUUCGUAUACAAGAAUCACUUUUUAAUAAUAAUGAAAAUACAAGAAUGUGUAAUUCAAUAUUAUUGCUUAGGAGCUAUUACUGUGACUGUAUAAGCAUUAAAAAAAAUCAUGAUAUAAAACGAAGCAAUGAUGUAAAACUUGCACAAAAGUGGACUUGAGAAAACAGAGUGAUUUACCAAAUAGGGGCUUGAUUCUUCGCUAGAUAGAGUAGAUUCGAGCCGGGAACUACCGACGUAGCCACCGAAUCCGACGGCUACUCCAGCUGAAGCCGACGGCAGCAGCGAAGCAGCGAGACUGAAAAAUUCAAUUAAAUAAAAUAAAAAUAAAUAAAUUUACAUGACUGCUGUAAUUAAUUAAUUAAUUAAUACGUAAUGAGAAACAGAGAAGAACGAAUUAAAAAAAAUUACCUGCUGCUUGAAGGACGAGCCUUGGCUCUACCUCCAUCUCCUUUCUGUUUCCCCAUUCUGUUUUCUCAUAAACAAAAACGCAGUCGUUUUUGUAACCACAGAGAGAGAGAGAGACGGCGAAGACCGGGGAGUCUGCAGCGAAAUUGAAUUGAAAGGCCGGUGGUCUGAAUUAGGAGGUUAAAACUUUUUCUCCAGUACAGAAGGGUACACAGUUGGAAAACAAAUACCAAUUACAUCUUGCUACGUCAGAGAAUCUAGUAGGCACGCCGUACGUCGUUUAUGUUCGGUAAUUUUUAGAGACCUCCCCUAAGGUUUGGAUAAUUAACACUUAAAUAGAAUAUAUUAAUGUAAUUAUAGACACCUUUCCUGUCGUUAAUUACUAGUUAGCUUGAUCGUUAGUGGACUGCAUAAAUUAUAAAAAUAUACUUGCCGCCAAAAUAAUUAAUUAUUAAAUAAAGCUUUGAGAGCCAUGGGUAAUAAAAUCCACGCUAGAAUCACUGAAACAUCUAAAAAAAACAAAUUACCCAUCUAUGUAAAGUAAUUGACAUUGCUAAUUAAUCAAAAAUUACUUAAAACUGAAACAAAGUCGUCGUUUUUACUGUUGUAAAUAAACAAUAAUAUUUGGAGCAGCAGGAUCUAUAAAUGGAGGCUUUCCAAGUCAACAAAUUACCAUAACACAGUUUCUUCUUCAUCUUCUUAAGAAAUAUUUGCAUUUGUUUCAAACUUUUCAUCCAUUCAACUCGUUGACAGAAGCAUUCAACUUAAUCAAAAUCAAAUAUUGUCUCAAUCGUAUGGAUUCCCAAAUCUCAAAUACAUCUAACCAAUUAAACAUGCAAAAAGUUUAUGAGCCAGCUCGGAGGAACAUUUUUAAUGGUGACUUGUUAGGUUUUCAAACUGAAUCCACAAAUGUCAUAGGAGAGCUAAAAUGAUGAAAUCUGAAUUGGAUGAUAAUCCUCACGGACUUUAUUAUAGAUGCCUGAGCAAAACUGUUUAUGGAUACUUCAAAUGGUGGCUCUAAAAAUGGAUUAUUUCAACAAUUGAGCUAUGUUUAAAGGGAAUUUGGGUACAAUUGUGGAUUGUGGUAACUUUAAUGUAAGAAAAGCAAAUGUGAAGGAAGUACAGACUAUUACGAAGAAGCUACAAAAGUCAGGAUUUGGAGAAGAGGAGGUGAAGAUGAUAAUGUACUUAAAUCUAGCUAUAUUUAUGCUCAAUUUAGCGAGCAAGAAGCAAUAUGCCUAGUGCGAUUUUUAAAAACCUCCUCUAAAAUUUGAGGUUGUUGCAAGUAAAUGACCAAAAUUGUUUUAUUUGGCAAAAAAAAAAAUUUUGCUCUGUUUGGUUGCCAUUUAGGUAGUUGGGGACAUUGUUGACAUUUCACAAUAUUGCCAAAGAUUUUGCAAGCUUUUUUUUGCCUUGAGCACAAUGGUUUGCCUUUUUAGUUACUGUGUUCUGACGCAAAUAAAUACCCAAACUUGCAAAAAGAAGCUUAGUUUCAAAAUUGUUCGGAACCUAGUUUUAAUUUUAUAAUAAUACUCAACUGCUCUCUCGUUCAAGCUCAUUUAAGCCUCCAGUUCAAUUGAGUCUACUUACUGUGCUUUCUUCCUAAUCUUCAUUUCUGCAAAGUUAUUUUACUUGUUGUUUAAGCAAAUGACCAUCCUUAUUGUCCAUAAUGUAUCGCAGUGAGUUUUGCCGGUGACCCACAAGCACGAACCUUUAUGUUGAAUCGAAUCAUAUGUGAGCUUUUUGACCUCUAUUGCACCUUCUCUACAUACACACAACUUAUUCACUUUAAGGCCACAAAAGAACACAAUAGCACAUAGAGUUAGAAAAAUGACAUUACCACACAGUAUUACCUUCAUUACAUUAGAUUUCAGUCCACUAGUUUCAGACUUGUUCACCAUUCUCUUAACCUCAGGAACCCCUCUUAGAAUGUCUUCAAGCAUCACAUGCAUUUGCAACAGUGCCUUUGUGGACUCUAUCCACUCUAAAGCCUUCAGGUAAUGCAACAUUAUUGAGAUCAAUUAGUAAUGUAUACCUCCACCUCAAAUAGCCAUAUUAAUUGAAAGGGCAACAGUAGAAUAACUAGUUAGGAUUAUCUUUGAACUCUGAUAUGCACAUAGCAGCACAAAACUUUGCAUCUACACUUCUUGUUUGGUUUCUUGUUUGGUGAACUUCAUCAGAUUUCCAUUUGGCUUAGAUCUCUGCACCUUGUGAUGCUUUUGUUAUUCAUGCUACUACUUACUUCAUUUGUGCAUCCAGAAGCCAUUAAGAUGAGAAAUGCAAACUGUUUGUUUAAGUAUUGUAUGUCAGCUUUAAAUUGAUAUACAAGCUUUUAAAUAGGUACUAAGAGCCAACAAUCAUAAUGCAAAAUAACUAUAUAUUCUUUUUAAGUUUGUAAUUUUAUCUUUUUUAGGAUUUUAAGGAAAUAUAAAUAAUUUAAUGAGGAUAAAUAGUCAUUUUAGUUAGUUAUGACAUUGUAAAUCUUUAGAAUUUGUAAGGGCAAAAAUGUCAAAAAAAUGGAAUUGUGAUUUUUUUGCGCCAAGAAUCUCAACUUUUUUUUUAAUUGUGUCAGUCUAUAAAAUGUCACAAGAGACAAUAUUCUCUUUUUAAAGUUAACUAGCAGUCAAUGAAAAAUUUAAUUGAUGGUAAUGGAUUUUUUACGAAUAAAACAAUAUUGGUCAUCUACUUACAACAACCUCAAACCUCGGCAGAGGUUUUUAAAAAUUACUCAAUAUGCCUAAGAAAUACUAGGUAUGAAAGAUGCAUUAUAGUGCAAAAUCUAGUAUUUUUAUUAUAUAAUAUACUGAUGGAAAAGAAAUAUAAUGCAUGUGUAAUCCAAUGUUUGAAAUCAAGGUAGUAAAAUGAAUUUGAAAUUUUGGCCUGAUCAGAACACCGCGAAAAAAUUAUGAGUAAUGAUAUAGCCACAAACUCUUGUACAAAUUUAUUUUGUACAAAUUUAUUUUGUACAAACUUAUGUGGCAUGAUAAGAUUUGUUGAAUUAAAUAUCACUUGGCCCACAUGAUUUGUUUUCAUUAUUUUAUAUUUUCAUUCAACCAAUAAAUUAGUGCCAUGUCAGUUUGUACAAAAUAAGUUUGUACAAUAGUUUGUGGCUGUAUCAUUACUCAAAAAUUAUAUGCUGGUUGUUUGAACUCCGGAAUGUUUAAGAAAAUUAUUAGUUCACUGAUAAAAAUUAUUGAUUCACCAUUUGGACUCCAGAAUAUUAUAGAAAAUUAUUGGUUCAUCAUUUGGACUCCAGAACAUUUCAAGAAGUUAUUGGUUCGCCACCAACCCAAUUUUUCAUAUUUUCUAAAUUUAUAGUUUAGCCUUAAAACUUUCAAAAUUUUAUAUUGGCCUAAAAUGUUAUAAAACUUUUCAAAUAAGCCCUCACUAGGAUUUUAAACAAUACUUGUUGAUUUCAAAGUUUGUAAAACUUUUUCAAUUUAGUCCAUAAAUUUGAAAAACAACAUUUUCUUAAGAUCAUUUUCCUUUAGGUACAAGGCCUUUAUAUUUUGAAAAUAAUGAUGAAUUUAAAAUGUUAUGAAAAUAAUUUGAGUUUUUAGAUGCUUAAUAUGCAUACAUCUAAUCAUACUAGUUUUUCAAAUUGAUAGUAUCACAACAAGAACACAAGUCCCUACUUAAACUAAUUCUUCAAUGCCAUAAAAUAUUCAAUUCAUAAUCAACAAACUAAAAUAAAGAAGGAAUUGAGUAAUAAAACAAGGUAAAACCCAUAAUUUUUGGCUAUUUAAUUUUUAAAUUCGUAUGCAUUUGAGCAAUAUUAAGAGCAUCAUAUGUCAUUAAUGACUAAAUUCCAUCAGCAGUACAAAUAACAAUAGCCAAUAUUUAGAGUCUCAACAAGUCAUCAACUAUAAUAUUAACUGGAUAUGACAAAAACAAACAAGGCAUACAUGGCCUCAGUAAGAGUACGAGUUUGUAUGUACCACACAACCACAAAAUGUACAAAAACUCUUACAUAUAUCUACGCCUGAGUGAUAAAAAGAUGUUACAACAUCUUUUCAUAGCAAUGUUGUCACUUAACUAAUCCCUUAAAAGAAUUUCUUAGAAAAGAUUAGCUUGACUUUUGCUAUUUUUAUUCUAUAAUUAUAAAACGAACAAGGCAUACAUGGCCUCAGUAAGAGUGUGAGUUUGUAUGUACCACACAACCACAAAAUGUACAAAAACUCUUACCUAUAUCUACGCCUGAGUGAUAAAAAGAUGUUACAACAUCUUUUCAUAGCAAUGUUGUCACUUAACUAAUCCCUUAAAAGAAUUUCUUAGAAAAGAUUAGCUUGACUUUUGCUAUUUUUAUUCUAUAAUUAUAAAACGACGUUUCUAAUGUCAUUGGAUGCUUUAACUCAACAUUGGUCAUCUUGAGUAAGUUGUCCUUCAUGAUCAAAGAAAAUAAAUUAAAAUGUAACAUAUUUUUUGGAACUACAGCACAAGUAAAACAAACCGGUGGUGUAAUUAAACUUUACAUAUUCAUUAAUUUCAAAAUAAACCAGACACAAAGUGCUUACUAUUUUCAUAGACACUGUUCUAAGUGUUAUAAUAAGACUAAUUAUGGUAGCAUCUUUAUUCUUAAAGCUGGAUAUCUCUCAUCAAUCCUACAUAUAGAUAAUUAGAUUAUGUAUUAGUUCUUCAACAAAACACCCCAUAGCUCUAUUUCUUUUAAAAUAGUUGUUUUUCAUCAUCAUCUUUUUUACCCUUAGUUUGGGGCUUACCAACAUCUCUAAUAAUAAUUGGUGGCAAUAAGUUAUUAUGCAAGAGUAAUGACCAUCUACUUUCUUCUAGCACAAGAUGUGAGUAGUGAUGAUAGGCAUUCUUGAAUGCAAUUUUCUUCAACAGAUGAUGGACAUAUGACUUCAAAGGAUUUGUUGUACCCAAAUAUAAUAGAUAAUGCUCUCGAUUUAGCCAUUGCUUCUAAUACUCUCCUCUUAACAAGUGGAGGCAGCUGAUCUUGCCAUGUUUUUACCGGCUCAUGUCUUUUAUAUACAAAGAUCAUAAUCUUCUUUCUAAUCGCCUCAAGAAUUCUUACUAUUGGCAUACCUUUGAAGUUACUUAUCUAAUUAUUGAUGGACCCGGUCAUAUUAUUUGUGAUAUGUGAGCAAUUAGUUUGUAUAGGGAAGCAAUGUUUGGCCCAACAUCUCAAAGGAAUUUGUAAUAACCACCUGGAAGCAACAUGGCUACUAUUAUUAAGUUCAACGAUAAAGCUGUUGAAAUCCAUUUGGUUUCUAUUUCUAUAUGCUACCCAAAAUUCUUUUUUAAGUAAGAUUCCUAGAAAUUUUUACUUGAAGUUUGCAUAUAUGUGCCCGUAACAAUGCCUUCUCAUAGCUUAAAGAAAAGUCAUAUCAAGUGCAUUCAAUAUAUCUUUUUGUCUAUCACUUAUGAAGUACAAACCCUCCCCAUUUACAGCCUAUCUAAUCAUAUAGUUUCUUUAUAAACUAAAGCCAAAACUUAGUGUUUUCAAUUUCUACAAUAUUUAUGCCAUAGUUGGCACAUGUCCCAUUGUCUGUCUCACUUAUUCUGGACUUCAUUUUUUAUCGAUUUUUCUGUGUUUUCAAUGAUUUUUCUUCAUCACUCAACUCAAACUAAGUACUUUAAGAAAUCACAUUGUUUUAUGAAUGAAAAAUAAUAACAUUUGCAACAAAACCCACUUUAAUUUCGAACUUAGUUGAUAAAAUCAAUAGAUUAAAGGUUUAUAUUGUGUAAGAACAUAAAUUUAUUUUAAGAAGCUCUCCAAUUGAUGAUUAUAUUUUCAAUUAUGCAAUGUUUGUUUGAUGAAAUUUGUUGAUUUAUUGAGAGUGAUGAAGUUUGUUGAAAGUGAUGAAUGUUUGUUAAAUUGUUUAGAGUUGAGAGCAUUAUAGUUGUAUUAGAUUUUAUCGAGUGGCAUGCAUUUGUAAAUUUGAUGAAAAUGGUAAGGGUAAUUUAGUCCAAAAAAUAAGGCGUUUGGCUAGUUAUGAUAGAAAAAAAAUUAGGUGGGUUAAAUUAAAAAAUGACAAAAGUUUUAAGGCUAUUCUUGUAAAUUUUCCUUGCACGAUUCUGGCCCCAAAAAGAUAAAAACUUAUGCGACAACUAAUAAUACCUAGAACCCAAUUGGAAUUGUUUUUGGAAUGCUCAAAAUUUACUUUUAAAAAAUAAAAAACUAAUUUUACUAUUUAGUAAUUGUUUUUAAAAAUUAAUUUUUACAAAAUCACUUCAUUUUAUAGCAAAUUUUAAGAAGCAAAAAAAGAAUAGUUUUCAAAUUUUGAUUUUGAAAAUCAAUUUUAUACUUAAUACAAUUCUAUAUAAAUUAUCAUAUAUAUUAUAAAAAUCUAAAAUUACUCUUAUUAAUUAGGAAAUAAAAUCAUUAACUUUAAAGAUUAUUAUUAUUAACAAUUAUAUUCAGAUAACAAAAUAAAAAAUAAAAAUAAAAUUAAUAAUAUAAAAUAUUUAUUGUAGCUAUCAAUUAUUACAUAUACAGAAUAAAAAAUAUUUUAUAUACAUGUUUAUAAAUGUAUAAAUAAAUUUCAUCCAACAUUAUAUCAAAUUCAGUUAUUUACAUUUAUUUUUACAAUAGUUUAACAAUAAAAUUUACUAAAUAUAUACUAUUAUUUUUAAAAUUUACAACACUUUUAAAAAUAAAUUUUACCAAAUGUUUAACUUAUUUUAAUAGAUGAUUAUUUCUAUAAUACAGAUAAUCGCAAUUAUUCUAAAAUUUACAGCAUUACCAAACUAACCCUUAGGUAGUAAUUUAAAUUGCCUUUCUACAACUUAUGGAUGGAACCCUAACAUAUUGAGAUUUUAAAAAUACAUAUUCCUAGUAAAAUUCACUGGUUUCUGCAUUUUCCAAUUCAAUUGUCAAUUAGGUCUAAAAUUUGCACUUGUUCCACCUUCCGAACAGCUUUUUUUGCUUAAAUCAUAAGAGUAAUGAUAUAGCCACACUCUUGUACAAACUUAUUUUGUACAAACUGACGUGGCAUUAAUUCAUUGGUUGAAUGAAAAUAUAAAAUAAUAAAAACAAAUCAUGUGGGCCAAGUGAUAUUUAAUUCAACCAAUCUUAUCAUGCCACAUCAAUUUGUACAAAAUAAAUUUGUACAAGAGUUUGUGGUUAUGUCAUUACUCAAAUCAUAAUGCGAGGGACUACUUGAUACGCGAUAAAUCUAUGAAGCUAACUCAUAUUUUACCCAAACUUGAACUUAUUGCAAGUUUGAGACCCCCACCCGAUACACAGAGCUCAGCUAGAUACAUGGAACGAAUAUGAGCCUUCAGAGCAUUGCAAAUUUUGAAAUGGCAAAAUACAAUACAAAAGCAGAUACAUUUCCUUUCUCGCUGGUGUGCAUAUGGAGACCAGGAGAAAGGAAUGAUGAAAUAAUUUUAUUAGUCUAAGAAAAUAACCACCAAAGCCACAAUUACAGCAGGUUCAAUAGACGUGGGAAAAAUGGUUAGUCGAAAUUUAUUUCUUCUCACAUAAAUCUGCUGAAGCUUGUACAUGAGACUAGUCUGCAUCAAAUUGAUCAGUGACAGCAAUGAGAUUUAUUUUGAUAAAUAAUACAUGACAAGGACAGUGAGAGAACAAACUAUACAUUAGCUCAAGGUUCGGAACAUUUAACCCAUAAUAUCAAUUUACCAUCCUAAUUUAUGGUAUAAAAUCUCUAUCAUGAAGGAAAGUUAAUUUUGCUAAUAAGCUUGCACAAAGGAUGAAAGAAAAAAAAGCAUCCACUGAGAAAUUAAUCUGAUUAGGCUUUAGAUAGAUCUAUUUGUUCUAAGUAAUUAGCAGAACAAAGACCAAACCAUCAAGGCAUUUACAGGGUUCAAUUUGAAAGACCAACAACAAAGGGGCAAAAGCCACAAGUAACAAAAAGGAAAAAAAGUCCAUCUGUUUCAGCAGUUGUAGCCUGUUCAACAUAGAAAAACCAUGUUUUGUUGCUCUUGACUUGAAAACUUUAUAAUUCAGUUUCAGUUUCAUUUUAUCCCACCAACCAUGACAUAGUCUGAAAAAUUCAAUUCUCAUGCUUGAAUGAUGUUUCAUCAAAUCAAGCUACUUCAAAUGUGUAUGGAAAUCAAACAACAAGAGAAAUGAAAAAAAUGGAAUAAUUUUGGAAAUAUUGGCACUACUGCAGGUUUAGGUUUUCUCAUUCAACAUGGCCAAAUUCGUAUAACAUAAUGUUAUAAAACGUUGAUCAUACCUGAGCGAUUAUGGAAUUGCCUCUAUAGAUGGUGCAAGAUUUUUGAAAAGGGCUGCCUUUAAUUGUGAAAUGAGAGGCUGAGUCUUCAGAGUUUUCAUCGACAAUGAAUACCUCAAACUCAGUUCUUGUAAGUGUUUUCAUUGUCCUGUUCACUUUGAAUAUCAGCUCCUUCUCCUCACCAUCAUCUCCCUUAAAACCUUGCCACAAUCCCUUCUACAACCAGGAAAGAAAUCACAUUACUUGUGGUUUACUCUGAAAAAAUAAAUGACAACUAUAUUAGAAUCAGUGAAGUCUUACAAAAAGAAACAAAUUCAGAUGCAUGGACAGGCCUACUUAAGCAUGAAACAGGAGAGAAAGUCAAUCAUUUCAUGUCUUUAGUUUAUAUAAACACACAAUGGUCUGAGGGUCCGUUAGUAUUGAGGUGCUAUGGUGGUAAACAUAGCUCUUGAAUAAUAAUUUUGACAGAAUUAGUAAAGAUAUUAUAAGUAGUUCAUCAUAUUUAUAUGUGAGAUAAAAAUCAACUCAACUUCCACACCACAGUAACAAAUGUUUGCCAAAUACUGUAGCUUUUGAGGUACUAUUGGCCAAUCACAAUAAUAGGACAUCAAAAUGCAAUCAAAAUCCAAACUACACAUCUUUGGCAAUAACCAAACAUUCCAAUUUCACCAAAUUUAAGAUAUUUUUUUUUUUUUUUAAAAGCAUUGCCGCAAAGGGACAAAAUCAUGCUCAAAGGGUUAUAUUUUACCAAUUGAACCAACUAUCACCCCUAAAAGACUAUCACACUUUCAUAUAAAGAUAAACAAAGCCAACUAUACACGGAGGCAUUGUCAAAAAUUUAUAGGAUCAGAAAAUAAGCACGGUUACCAAUGAUUUGCAUGUCUUACACUCUCAUUACCCGAAAGUACUAAUCUUUAAUUAAAAGGCAACAUAUUAUGAAUAAAUAAAUAAGAUAAUAAUGUCAUUUGGAACAGUGAACAGACAAUAAGCAGAAGAGCAGAACCCUUUGGCUAAAAUAACGUCAUUUAUUUCCUCUUCAGGUGAACUUUAAGCGGUGAAAUUAUCAAAUUGAUCUCUACAGUUCACCAGAAGUAACAAACUAGUCUACAAAUUUACCUUUUUCUUUUUAAUAAUUUGUCCCAUCAUCCAACUUUGUAAAUAAAAAGUGUAAUGCUAACCAUUACAAAUUUGUCAUUUAAAAAAUAAGGCUAAAUAAUGUGGUAUUCAUGAUUAAUUGAUAAAAAAUAUAAUUAAUUCACUUGAAUUUUGUAUCGAAUUACUAUUAUUUAGAAAAAAAUUAAAAUAUUUUAUAUCUAUCAUUACUCGAAUAAGAGGAAUGUACUGACUUGUGACAACAAAUAAAUUUAUAUACCUAUUUACCACUUUGACAAACUAUAGGGACUAAUUUGAUAAUUUAAAAAAAAUUAAAAUUUAAUGAAAAAAAUGAGAGAGAAAAGGAAAGAGAAAGUCUUUACGUCUUGACGAUAGACGGAAAUGAGAGGAUUUCCCGCUGAAUCAACAACCACCACUCUUUUCCUCCGUUGUGAUGAAUUUGAUUUUGACUGAUGCUGAGUACGAUUGACUCUGUAAAUAAUGCCACCGGAUGAAUCAGCGAACCCGAUAUCGCCACGUGUAAGGCCGGGAUAUUUCUUGGAGACGAACAGAUCAACAGGGAUCGGCGAGUUCGCCGUGUAUAUAGGACCAGAAGCAGCCAUAAAUAACAAAUAUUGAUAAAUUUAAUUUAAUUCAUUUGAGUUUGAUUUUUUUUAUUUUUUAACGAAUGGUAAAUAAGGAGAAUAAAUAGAAAGCGAAAAAGAGCAAAGUGGCUGGCUUUAUUGGAGAAUGGAGAUGAUGGGAAUCAGGUUCGUUGGUUGGACUUCGCCAGCCGGCUUCAGCUUGCUUUGAAGAGUCUCUGCCUGCACCGCAUGAUCUGAUGGAUGGAAUAUCAGCUUUUGUUUCCUUUUAAAAAAAAUAUUGAAUAAAUGUGAAUACAAAUAUUUAAAUAUAAUACUGUCUUAUUCAUUUUAUAAAUUAAAAAAUUAUUUAAUAUUUAUUUUUUUUGUAAAUUAAAACAAAAGAUAAUCAAAAUUUUUUAAUUUAACAAACAAAUAUAGUUGGAAGAGAUAUUUUUAAAAAUAUUUAUUUAUUUCUUAUUUAGAAUCAUAUUUAUUUUUACUUAAAUUUUUCUCAUUUGAAUAAAAGUUAAAAUUUAUUUUUUAUUUAAAUGUAAAUAAUUAAAAAUUAGAUAUAAAUUAAAAUUUUAAUGUAAAUAAGUUUAGAAAAAAUCUAAAAUUAAUAAAAUUUUCGACUUUACACGUUUAAAUAAACAUUAAGAAGAACAAUACAAAAACAUAAAGGAGUUCUACUAUUUGAACUGAGAGAAGGUAGAAAUCAUUUAAUAAACCAACAAAAACGUGGGCCCACAAUAAAUUUAAAAAAGGCGCGUGAAUAGGGUUCUGCUAAAGGAAAAUGACAAGCACACUUCGGUGUUCUAUUAUGAUGGGCUUGGCUCAUUUCUAAGCCCAAGACCAUUUUUAAAAAGUUUGAUUCGAUGUUUGCUAUCACAUUUUUAUUUAUUUAUUUAUUUAUUUUAGCAUUUGUGAUUUAUCAUGUUUCUUAAAUAAUGGCCGUUUCAGGUAGGAUGGUAGUUAAAUAAUCUCAAUGGAUUAGGUAAGGCAGUUAUUAUAUAAUUGUUCAAUUUUCUGCAACUUUUUUCCAUCCCUACGUGUAGAUAACUUAUCGUUUUAGGUUAUGUAAUGCUUCAACAAAUUGCUUGCUGUAGGCAACCAGCAAAAACAUCAUGUUUAUUGUUCUCCCUUUACAGACCUUCAUCAAGUAGAUGUAGCUUCUCACUUCAUUCGUGUGUUUGGAAGCUUUUUAAGAGAAAAUAAUUUCAAAAUUCAGAAUCCAAAUUGUUUUUAAUUAACGUAUUGCCACUCGGCCUUUUGGUCAGGGCUGCUGCCCUCCAAGUUGGAGGGCAGCAGUUCGAACCCCCACAAAUGCAUUGUGGGGGUAUUUUCUUCAUCAAUUAAAUUUGAGUGAAGACAAUCUUUUUCUUUACCCAAGUGUGAGGAGUAGACAUCCAUCGAAUAUUUGUGAGGGUUAAAAUCUGGGCAGCGCUCCAUUAGCAUUGAUGUAAGUUAGUCCUAGUAAUAAUCUAAUUUGUAAAUAUCAGUAUAGUCUCAUGUAAUAUGAGUUGUAAUUUGAGCAAUAGUCUCAUGUAAUUAAAAAAAAAAAUUAACGUAUUAAUAUAACACUGCAUUUUUCUUUAAAGUUUACUUUUUGUUGAGAUAGUUCCAAUGCUUUAGUUUAUUAUAUUUAUUCCCCUUACAAUAUGAAAAUUUUAGUUUUUUUUAAAGCACUUUUUUUGUUUUUCUAGGCCAUGCAAUAUACUCAACUACGUAUUAAUUCAUUUCUUAUGUGUGAUUAUUAUAUCUAUGAAUACUAUGUGUACCUUGGGACUUCUUCAUCAUUAGAUGGUCAAUUUUUUUGACUUUCUAACUAUAUGACAAUGCCCAAACCAAAGGGUAUCAUUCUCGGACACCACAUUUAAUACUGUACUAUGAAUCCAACUUGGUAAUAGAACGCAUCACACUUGCAAACUCAACAGAAUAAGAAAGACCUCAAAUAUGAUUCUUGAUUGAAGUUCAGUGUGCUUCUUUUGCAACAAUAACAAUGGAGCUGCAGGUCAAUCAAGCAGAAAUGAUCCCCCCAAUUACAAGCUCAACUUCAUGGCCAAAAUUUGUCAAUAAAAACAUCACACCAAUCACCAAUCUUCACAACCACUAUAGCCCCCUCCAUAGUCAUAGUAAUUGUUCCCUCUACCGUCAUAGUAAUUGCAAUAUAAGUAUUGUCGUCCUCAAAAUUGUCACAAUAACCACUAUGAAAAUCAUCAUGGUCAAAAUCAUCAUAGUAAAUCCCCUCUCUGGAAAACGGCUCCAAAUCUCUUAAAGCAAAUAAUACUACCACUCUCACCUUCAUUGUAUGAUUCAUCAAAGAAUUGAUUCUCCACUCCCUCUUCCUCAUCUUCUUCCUGCAGCUCAUGAAACGCCUGUCUCAUCUGGAUAAGCCAUUUGUGGACUAUCUUCAGCUGUAGGCACAAAUAGAUGAAGUCAGUCAAAUGGCUACAUCUUGAACGUUAGAUCAAAAGGAAGAAUAAGAACUAGAAGUUACGAUACAAUUUGAAAAUAUAUAAUGGCCACUCUCUUCUUUAAGAAAUUGCUCUGCAUCUCUAGAAGCAUCAUUUUCCGAUUCAUUAGCAGCUUUACUCUCCAUUUGCACUUCCAGCUCCAACUCUCUUCAUCAGAUAUCACAUUUGGAUAAACAUUCCAUGAAGUACAUUCAGCUGAGAACACCAAAAGAAAAAGAAGUAAGGAUGAGCAAGAUUUAAAAGUUAUAAUACCCAUUCAAAUCAGCUUCUUCAUUAGACAUCUCAUAUGGAUUAUUAUUUCAUGGAUUAUAUUCAGCUUAAAACAGUGAAAGAUGAAGAAAGUCAAAUAGGGGUACUGUGAAUAUUAGAGCAAAAGCAUGAGCCAAAACUAAAGGUUAUAAUUAUCAAGUAAUAGAGAACAAAAGAGACAAAUAAUUUUUGGAAAAAAAGGUUCUCUCCAUUUGUUGAGACAUACCAGUUCUUAUAGUUGUAAAAUAAUUUUGUACAAGGUAAGUAGAAUAAUCAAUCUCAAUAAUUUGGGUAUUUUACAAUAAGUAUACAGCUAGCCCCAAGAUUACGCUAGUAAUCAAGUGCUUGAUUUAUGCAAUCAAGUUAUUUAUUGGAGACAGUAUAAUGUUGACAGCCUCCCUCAAAUUGAUGUUGGUGAAUCAACAAGCUUCAAUUUGCCAACCAAGAACUGAUGCCGUAUCUUGGUCAAGGACUUUAUAAAUAUAUCUGCAAUUUGAAAUGUUGUGGACACAUGAGGUAAUUGAAUGGUACCAUCAGCAUAAGCAUCUCGAAUAUAGUGGCAGUCAACCUCAAUAUGUUUAGUUCUUUCAUGAAACACAAGAUUUUCAGCAAUUUGUAUGGCACUCUUGUUAUCAGCAUGCAAUAGCGUUGGAGACGCUUAAGGAAAACCCAAUUCAGAUACAAGUUGUCGUAGCCAUACAAUUUCAUAACAAGCACCCGACAUAGCUCUAUACUCUGCUUCAGUAGAGGAUUUAGACACCCUCUCUUGUUUUUUGCAUUUCCAAGAGACAAGACUAUCACCAAGAUACAUACAUCAACUUGUAGUUGAUCGAUGAGAGUCUGAACACCCAACCCAAUCAGCAUCACUAUAAGCUUUGAGAACAAGAGGGGAGCCAGCCUUGUAAAAUAGUCCACGAUUAGGAGUCCCAAGCAAAUAACAGAUUAUUCUUUUAACUACUGAAAUAUGUAAAUGUCGAGGCUCAUGCAUAAAUUGGCUCAUUAAGUUCACUGCAUAAGAGAUGUCUGGUCGGGUAAUCGUCAAAUAAAUCAAACUCCCGACUAGUUUCCGAUAUAGUGUAGGAUCAGAAAGCAAGUCACCAUCAUCUUUCGAAUAUUUCACAUUGAUCUCAAGUAGAGUGUUUAUGACUGUUGAAUCUUCAUGUCUUGCCAAAGCAAUUAAAUAUUUUGUGUAUUUAUGCUGAUGGACGUAGAUGCCUUCACUUGAACGAUGUACCUCAAGGCCGAGAAAAUAAGUGAGAUUGCCAAGAUCUUUCAUUUGAAAAUAUGAAUGCAAAGACUCCUUAAAUAGCUGGAUACCAGAUGUGCCAGUCCCCGUAAUAAUUAUAUCAUCUACAUAAACAAGAAGAAUAAUGAUACCAACAGUUGAACGUCGAAUAAACAUAGAAUGAUCAUUAGAGCUCCGGUGAAAAUCCAACUGAUGCAGUAUUUGACCAAACUUUGUAAACCAUGAACGUGGUGCUUGUUUAAGCCCAUAAAGAGGACGUCGUAGACGACAUACUUGAGCUUUUGAAUUAGAGCUUACUCCAUGUGAAAGCUUCAUGUAGACUUCUUCUUGUAGAUCUCCAUACAAGAAUGCACUUUUUACAUCCAUUUGAAAAGAGGCCAUGCUUGUAAACCCAUAAUCGCUAACAAAGUGCGAACUGUGGUCAUUUUGGCCACUGGAGCAAAAAUCUCAUGAUAGUUUAUACCAUAUUUUUGCCAAUUCCCAAGAGCAACCAAACGAGUUUUAUAACGAUUCAAAGAACCAUCAGCUUUUUGUUUGAUAGAGUAAACCUGUUUGCACCCGAUUGGUGUACAACUAGCGGGACAAGAGACAAUAUCCCAUGUAUGAUUUCUUCUUAACGCUUCUAGCUCUUCAUCCAUUGCAACCUGCCAAUGUAAAUAUUGUUUGGCUUGGGAAUAAGAGUUUGGAAUACUCAUAGGUGACAAUGUGGUCAUAAGAGACAAACGAUCAGGUGGUUUGAUUUGUCUACUAGAUCUUCGUAAUAGAGGUGCAGCGGAUAUUGUGUUUGACUCAUGUGUUUCAAGACUUGGAUCAUGUGUUUCAGGGCUUGGAUCAAGAGAUAAGGAAGAUUCUCGCUGAGGACCCUUUGUUUCUUCACUGUUAGUUUUGUCUCGUUGCUCACUUUCUAUCCCAAGAUUAAACCUUGCCUUGUUAGGAAUAUCACUAUCAAAGUCAUGAAGAUUAGAAAAUGGAGAUAAAGAAGUAGUGACAUGGGUAUUUUGAAAAAAAUAAAUAUUUUCAACAAAAAUAACAUUCCGAGAUAUGCGAGUAUGACGAGCUUUGAGAUCAUAACAAAGGAAACCUUUGUGAUAAGAUGCAUACCCAAGAAAUGCACAUCUUGCAGAUUGUGUAGUCAAUUUAUUUCUAUCUAAUGUAGGAAGAUGACAAUAACAAAGACAUCCAAAAACACGUAAUUGAGUGUAAUCAGGAUGUUUAUUAUGCAAACAGAAAUAUGGAGACUCAUUAUAAAGGUUAAAUGAUGGCAUACAAUUAAUCAAGUGUACAGCUGUAGACAAGGCUUCCACCAAAAAAUGAGAAGGUACAGAUGCAUCAAGAAGCAAAGCACGAGUAACAUCCAAGAGAUGUCGAUUUUUCUUUCAGCUAUUCCAUUUUGCUGAGGAGUGUCUGGGCAAGUUUUUUGAGAUAUUAUUCCUUCAUUUUGAAGAAAAUUUUGAAAAUCAUUAGACACGUAUUCCCCUCUAGAAUCAGAUCUUAAGAUUUUGAUAGAAGUGGAAAAUUGAUUUUUUGUAUAUGCAAGAAAACGUUUAAAGGCAUCAAAUACAUCAGAUUUAUUAUGUAAAAAAUAAAUCCAUGUGUGACGACUAUAGUCAUCAAUGAAGGAAACAAAAUAUUUCUUACAAGAAUGAGAAGGAAAAUGAAAUGGUCCCCAAACAUCUCUAUGAAUCAAAUCAAAACAACUUUUUCCAUUAUUUUGAUGUACUGGAAAAGGUAGUUUUUUACUUUUACCAAGUUUACAGCUAUCACAAUUAAAUACCACAUCUGAAGAAUUAACAAAAUCUUUAUUAGAAAUCAAUCGACUCUUUAUCAACGAUAACAAAGUUUUAGUAUUUGGAAAUUAAAGUAGAAUAAUGUGAAGAGAACAAUGCUUUAUUCUUGAGAUAUCCAGGCAAGCUUAGAGUAAACAGUCUUCCACAUUUAGGUCCCUUCCCGAUCACUUUCCCCGUUUCUUGAUCAUAUACAAUACAACCAAAUUUUAAAAAAAAAGACUGUACAAUUAUCUUCAACCAAUUGCCCAACAGAAAUAAGACUCGAAGUUAAACAAGGCACAUGAAAUACAUUAGUUAAAGGCAAAGUAUGUGGAAUAUCACCAAUUGAUUUAACAUGAAUACUUUCUCCAUUUGCUGUUUGAAUUUCUAAAUUUCCCAAGGAUGGUUUCACAUUGACAAGAGAUGCGGAUGAAGGUGUCAUAUGGUUGGAAGCACCAGAAUCAAUGCAACAAUGAGAUGAAGAAGCAUUUUUACCUGAAACACCAAGAGCUAAUAAUGCUGAAAAAAUCAUAUGUUGUACCACUUCAGGAGUAAGGCUUGUGGAACUAGGUUCUGAAUGUGAAUUUGAGCUAGUAGUUUGCAAGGCUUGAGGACUUUUAUUUUGAGGCCGUCGUCGACAUUCAUCAAUCACAUGUCCAGGUUUCUUGCAAUAGUUACAAAAUUUCUUUUUUGCAUUGCUUGCCUAUAUGUCCAAAUUCUUUGCAACUAUAGCAUUGCAUUUUGCUCAUGUCCCUUGCAUGUGCUUGCGAUGCAAUGUCACCUCCAUUGGAUUAGAUACCUAAUUAUUCUUUACUUCAAGAAUAGAUUGAGUUAUACAUCGUUGUUCUUCACGAAGAAGUUCAGCAAGACAUAUAUCCAAAGAUGGAGAAGGAAUUCUGGACAUUAGAUUGGCACGAAUAGGUUCAAAAUCACGCCUUAAUUUCAUAAGAAACUGAUCUCGUUUAGACACUUCAUGCACUUGUUGCAAAGUAGACAGCCCCUCUUGUGAAACAGUAGCAUAAACCAAAUCUUGGUAUUCAGGCCAUAGAUUUAAAAAACCAGAAUAAUAAUCUUGUAUUGACAAGUUCCCUUGACUACAUUCAGAUAACUCUAAUUCAAGUUGAAAACGUCUAGCAGAGUUUUCUUGAUUAUAAUUUUUUUUAAAUAAUUCCACAUAUGCUUAGAACAACGAAAAGGCCUCAAACUAAGAACAAUACGAGCAUCAACAGAGCUCAAGAUCCAACUAAUUAUUUUAGCAUCAUUUGAAUCCCAUUCCUUUAUUUUUACACUAUCAGUUCCUUCUUGGGGCCUAGAAUCAGAUCCAUCAACAUAACCCCACAAGUCUUUUCCUUUCACAAACAUGCGAAAUUGAAAUUCCCAAGAGAAAUAGUUUUUCCCAUCUAAUUUGAUAGCCAAGGUUUCUGAUUGUGACAUUUUAAACACUAGAAUAAAGAAAAUGUUCACUUACCCAAGAUGUCCCACCGACACGAUUCAAACUCUCAAUCACGAUUGCAACAAUAAGAUCUCAAUUUCCACGAAUGAAAGUUGAUAUCUCUAUUUGCGAACAACACAACAAUUUGCUAUGAUGUUAUAAGAAAUUUCAAGAUUUUCUCUUAUACAUGCAUGGCUCUGAUACCAUAUCAAGUAAUAGAGAACAAAAGAGACAAAUAAUUUUUGGAAAAAAAGGUUCUUUCCAUUUGUUGAGACAUACCAGUUCUUAUAGUUGUAAAAUAAUUCUGUACAAGGUAAGUAGAAUAAUCAAUCUCAAUAAUUUGGGUAUUUUACAAUAAGUAUACAGCCAGCCCUAAGAUUACGCUAGUAAUCAAGUGCUUGAUUUAUGCAAUCAAGUUAUUUAUUGGAGACAGUAUAAUGUUGACAAUAAUACCAUCCAAAUCUGUUUCCUCAUGAGACAUCUCAUUUAGGUAAUCAUUUCAAUAUGAUCUUGAAGAAAGCAAUAUGAUCUUACAGAGCUUUCUUCAUUUUCGCGUGUUCUCAGUUAAAGACAAAACUGGCAAAUGAUUACCCAUAUGAGAUGUUUGAUGAGGAAGCGGAUUUGAAUGGUAUUAUAACUUUCAGUUCUUGCUCAUACUUUUGCUUUAAAGUUCAAAAUGCCCCUAAUUGUCUUUCUUGAUCCGUCGGUGCUCUCAUAAACAGCAGCCUGCUAAAGAAACAGCACAAAAUAAACAGUUAUGAACAUAUCAUUAGCAGGUAUAAUGGAAAAUGACAGACGGACCGAGCUUAUUAAAGCCCGAGAAGACCGAAGCGAAAAUAGUGACUGUGUUUGAUAAUUUUAAUGAGUUUUACGUGUUUUUCACGUGCAAACAGUAAAAAUAAAAAUUCAGUCCGAGAAUCCUCAAAUCCAUUAUGCCCAAACCACUCUAAAGCCUCAAAUCCAUUAUCUUCCAAGUCAAUUCCCAGCCCCAAAAUCCCCAAAUCCCUUGAGCCCAAACCACUCUAAAACGAAACCCAUCAACACCAUUCUAGCUUCUUGACUUAGUCUUUCACCAAGUAAGUAUUAAGUUUAUAUUUUUUUCUGUUUUGGUAUAUAUAUUUUUUCUUUUGGUGAUGGGUGAUGGGUGAUGGGUGAUGGGUUAAGGUCUUCUCUCUCAGUCUCAAUGUUCCGAAAUUGGCCAAUAUCUUCUUCGAAGUUGUUGUUCUCAACCUUAUCCAGUUCUCCAAUUUCGUGGACUACUUCCAAACUUUCCAUUGCUACAUAAUAAACAUCAUCCAUAUUGAAUGUAAAUAAAUCAAAAUUGACACAGCAACAAACAAGCAACAUACUAAAAUCAAAUGCCCAUUAAAUAAACAAGACCCAAAUGUACUUGAGCAUGAUACCAAUGAAAAUACUACGAGCAAAAUACUUUCAUUGGUAUUUAAAUGGGUACUAAUGAAUUGAUUGCAAUGCUUUUUUUUUCAUCCUUUUAUUUUUUUUGGAUUCAGAUGCCCUUUUAAUGUUAAGAAGUGGUCUUUUUGGGAGACUCACCUAAUUUCAUUUUUUUUCAAAUAAGAAAUCAAUGGUCCCAUCAGACUCUACCUAUGUUAUAGAUUUCUAUUUUCUAUUAGUGCACCACCUCAACGUACUAAAAUUUUUUAGUCUAACCUAUGCAAGGUUGUCAAAAUUACAAGCGUCAGUGUUUGAUGCAACUCUCAAUUUGACACCAAGUCCAGCAAUUUAGAUUGUUCUAGAAGGAUAAAUUGUCAUAUUCAUGACAUUUAUUUAAUAAUCAUGUUUGUUUGAAGGUCAAGUGAUUUUAUUUAUAUUACAAUUAAGGACUUGACUAUCUUAUAAAUUCUGUAAGGUACGCACCGGUAAAUAAAAGAAAUGGAAAGUGAGCUCAAGUGGGUCAUCACUCUAUUUUUAAUAGAGUUGUACCUUACAUAAUAGCUUCUGUAAGGUAGUAAGCUCCUACAAUUAAUUGUUGGACUAAUUUUUUUUUUGACUUUAUUUAUAAUCCGACUGAAAUAUAUCAUAUUUGCACAAAAGCAAUUAAAACAAGAAUUGGACUAUUGGCACCCCUUCGUUAAUCUCAAAAAAUCUCUAUUAUGUUAUCGUUAUAUUUACGGACAUAUACAAAUAAGAUUAACCCCAUUUAUGUAUCUCUCUCUUUAAUUUUAUUUUACUUGCACAAUACAAUUUUUUUAUUAUUAUUAAAUUAUCCGAAUUUAAGAAGUAAUCCUCUAAAGCCAAAAUAAAAUUCUUGUAAUAAACAUAACAACUAAAUUAGAAUACAACACAGUGGGAAAAAUAAAUUAAAUAAUUUUUUAAGAAUUUUCAAACUAAUUGUUACACCCAAAAUUUAUCGGUACCAUAUUUAGGGGUUGGUUAAAACUAUAAAAUUGAUUUCACCUACUAUUUUAGCCCUAGUGUGAAGUGUAGCAGAAUAUGUAUGAUCAAAGCGUUUAAACACAAUGUAAGUGGCUGCAAGAGUGCCUACUAUCUCAGCAAAAACAUCAGAACUUGGUUUUUCUAUAGUAGUAGCAAAAAUAAUUUUGCGUGUGUCCAUUUCUUCAGGUCUCUGUCAAUAGUUGUGGAUUUGUGGUGUUCUUGACCAUGGCCAACUUGAAAGUAAACAAUGUCAGUUUUAUUCGUAGCUUUCAUUAUGAAAUCAGUUGUCAUGGUAGACUUAUAAAUAUUCAUAUUUUUCAUGUAUAAGGUUUUUCAUACUUUUUUUUUUAGAUUUUUUUCUUUAGAAAUUAAAUAAUAAUAAAAUUUAAAAAGAGGAAUACAAAUAUUAAGGUGGCGUUUGUUUUUUUGUCUGAAAUCUGAAUAGACCUGAAUUAAUCUGAAUUCUGAAUAGGUCUGAAUGUCUGAAUCUGAAUAAUAUGUUUGUUUUUUCGUCUGAAUAUCAGAAAAUAAAUAUUAAGUUGUUUGUUUUUUUCAACUUAAAAAGCUGAAAAUAUGUCCUUUUACAUUUGUAUCCUUAUUAAAUUUAAAUGUCAAAUAAAUAAUAUAUUAAAUACCACAAUAUUUUAACAUUUAUAAGUAAAACUAUAUUCAAGUGAAUACAUAAUUAUUUUAGAAUUUUAAUAUAAAAUACCAUAAAUUUUAAAUUUUAUCGUAUAUAAUAUAAGAAAGAAAAAACAUGGAUUUUUUUAUGUGGGGUAAAUAUAUAUGGGUGAGUUUUGGGAUAGACAUGAAAAAUAAGUUAUAAAACAUGGAUAUUUUUGACAUUAGCAAGUAAUUGACUUAAUUCAGAUUUCUCCAUUAAGUAAAAAGCCAAAAAAAUUAGCUUAUUUUAUUAAGUCAAAAUAAUCUAAAAAGUCUCAUUAAGUUAUAAAAACAAACACUUCUAAUUAACUUAAUUAAUUAAGUUAAGUCACUUUAAGUCAUUAAGUUAAAAAACAAACGCCACCUAAGUCUAAAAGAGUGAAAAAAAUUAUUAAAAAUUGAAAGAUUUAUAAAUGAAAAUAAUAUUUAUUUUAAAAAAAGUAUCUUUAACAUUAAAUGAAAUAUAAUUGAAAAAAGAAGAUUCGAGAGGAUUUUGGAGGAACGCCAGUAAUCUGAAUCUUAAAACAAAUGGUCAUAUGUGGAAAUUAUUAUAUAAAGAGUAAUGAUAUAGUCACAAACUUUUGUACAAAUUUAUUUUUUACAAACUGAUGUGACAUGAUAAAAUUAAUUGAAUUAAAUAUCACUUGACCCACAUGAUUUAUUUUUAUUAUUUUUUAUUUUCAUUCAACCAAUGAAUUAAUGCCACGUUAAUUUAUACAAGAGUUUGUGGUUGUUUCAUUACUCUUAUAUAAAUUUAGAAUAAGGGGUGGGCAAUCAAUUUCUUAUGUUUGCCAUCUCCAGCCUUGCUUGUAUACAAGGCCAAUCGCUUUAAGAAUAACAAAAUAGGAUUUUUUAUUUUUUUUUUUCCUCCCCGAAACUGCAGAAAAAAUUGGUAAUAAGGUAAAUGCAAAUUAUGUUCAAGUAACACGGCGGCAGCAUACUGUAAAACAAGAAUAUUUAUCAAUUAUCACCAGUAACUAUGUUACAAUCUAAACAUUAAGGAAAGAGGCAAAGAUCACAGCGGCAUGUGCAAGCUGAAUCAAGUGAAAUGCUCUAAGCAUCAUCUCGCUAAUAAGAGUUCUAAAGAAUUGAAAAACAAAGAACAAGAAGAGAUCUAAACUUUUGCCCAACUGAUCAAAACAGCACAAGUGUCCUCCAAAGUGGACAAACCGUGCUUCAAUCUUUAUCCUCCAACGAACAUUUGUAACAUUGGAUAUGUUAGGGUUGGUAAGAGAAUGAAAGUCUAUACAAAAGUAUACAAUUGAAAAUCCAUGCUAACACUAAUUUUACUGUUAGUCCCUAACUUUGGUCAUGAAACAGUACUCACAGAGCUGCCAGGGGCAACAAAUAGAAACCGCCAAUUUCCCCUGCUAAUCACAUAUAUACCAUCAAUUUAUCGAUGAGACCAUCUCCAAUCUUCACCAUCAGCAUCAUUCUCUUCAUUAUCAAGAUUAUCAAAACAAUGAUCGUCGUUUUCAAAAUCAUCAUAAUAAAUCUCAUCUUCCAGAAACCGGUCUACAUCCCUUGAAGCAAUACCACCCCUCUCACUCUCAUCUUCUGAAUUUUCAGUUGCCUUGCUCUCCACUCCAUCUUCAUCUACCUCUUCUUCUUCUUCUUCCUCCUCCUCCUCCUCUUGCUCAUCAGAAAUCUCAUCUGGAUACUCAUUUCGCGGAUUAUCUUCAGCUGAGAAUACCAAAAAGAGAAUAAUGUCAUAUAGGGGCAUUUCGAACUCUAGAGCAAAAGAAUGAGCAAGGACUGGAAGUUACAAUACCAUUUGAGUCCUCACUAUCAUACUCUGACUCAUCAGGACCAUCAUAGAACUCCUCAUCAUCGACUUGAACCCUAAACCAUGAUAAUCUAUCAACUUCAACAAAUUAAAAAAAAGGUGCAUCUAAAGUAGCAUAUUGAAAUCAACACUUACAGAGGAAAUGGGCUGGACGCAUCUUCAUCAACAUUCAUGUCAUCAUUUACAGCAUAAUAGUCGUAUACAUAAUCAUCUGCAAAUGACAUAAAAUACACAGAUAGUAACACCCAUCAAGCAGUGCUCAACAAUACAGGCUUGACUACUCACUGCCUCUGAUGUUAACGAAGAGCUGAAAUAGUAAUUAAAGCUUUACUGAAGGAGAAAUCAUUAAAAUACUAAUGAAAUCAAAUUUUCUCACUGGAACCUAAGUGUUAUUUAAUUGAGGUAGUACCCAGAGUGAAUCUACAUUUGUUACACAAGACUGAAAGCAAAUUUAAAAUGGAAGGAAGUAGCUAAAGAACAAAUUGCAUGUUUGACGUAAAUUAUGAUCUUUAAUGAAACAAAGUAGAAAUCACAACCUUGUUUAGACAAAUAGGCCCACAUAUCAGAUUCAAUCUCUGCAGCAGCACCCGGUAGAAACUCUCUUAGCAUAGGCAGAUAGCUAGACAGCAAUCUUUGAUCCUCCAAAGACAUAUCUCUGUUAUAAAAAUAUAUGGUUCAUUUUCACAUCUUUCGCAUAUAAACAGAUGAAUUUCUUGAUGACAAAACUUAUUCCUACCUCUGCACCUCAUUGGAUUUUUCUUCCCCAUCAACACGAACAACAUCAUAAAAAUGACACAUUUCACGUAAUUCUUUGUGAUGCAACUCCUCUUUGUGACCUUUUCUGCUCCUCCAUAUCUGUUCAAAGCGAGCAUUUUUUGCCAAUACCUGUUGGGAAAAAAAAUGAGAUAAAUCAACAACCCAGCAGAAAAGGUAUAAAGAGCAAGUAUUUUCACUAUCUUCAAAUAUCGGUUUAGCUAACACGUCAUCUCCUUUACUCCUAAAAUCAUGAAAAGUUACUAAACCACUCUAAGCAAACAUUUCCUGAUAAAGCAACAAGGCAAACAAUGUCGCAGCUUCUAAGGCGUAGGUUAUCUACUACUGACUAUGUAUACAAUUGAGGACCAACACAGAAGACCUUUACUGCAUGAGAUGCAUCAGUCCUCCGAAGUUUCUGGAAGCAAAAGCAAAGGUUCAAAAGCAAAUUUAGAGAAAGGGGAUGUUCGGGUGUUGAGAAGCUGCUGAGUCAACGAGUCAAGGGCUGGUGAAAACAGUAAUUUACAAACAUAUAAAACUACUACACCAUAAGACACAUGGCAAUUUCAAUAAAGGUGAUGGGCAUAGCUAAUAUUCAUUAGCAUGCAAGCACAAUAAGACCAAACAUAUGCAAAACUAUAGGGCAAAAUCCUAAGUUGAAUAAAAAAUAAGAUAAAUGUAGUAAUUCAGUUGCAGUAAUUUUUUCCUCUUGUCUCCCCCAACAGCUGCACUUUCAUCAGUCAAAUUCUCCCACCAUCGUGACCUUUCCUUUUUUUUUUUUUCUCUUUCUCUGAUCAUCACAGACAUUCCCUCAAUUUGCACCCCAUAUAAAAGAAAAUCCAACAAAGAUCAUCUUUGCAUAUAAACAAUAUAUACAACCUCAAUGUGCACCCUACUUUCGAGAAAAAUAGAAGAGAAAGGGAGAAAGAAAUGCAUGAUAAACAACACAAUUAUUUUUGUCCACUCCCAUUCCAUUAAGAUAAACAUCAACGCUACCUGAAUAACGUGACUCGUUUAACCAGCCAAUCAAGCCUAUGAUUGCCUAAAGAAACAAACAACUAGCAUUUGCACAAAGAAAUGGUAUUGUCCAUAUUAAAAACACAUUGAAACUGAAGGAGAUCCCCUUAUCCAAAGGGGGGGAAAAAGAAGAAGAACUAGAAAAUGAACAGAUAGUCAGCACCACAAGGCAGCAAAGAAAGAAUGGACGAGUAUCGAUAUAAGAAUUAAAUUUCAACAAGACACGAUUUAAAGAUGCCAAAAAUUUAGUAUACAUCUUUAACUCCAAAGAAGAAAGGUAUCCUAGUAUGAUCAUCAAUAACAAGUUCUAGGAUCUUCAGGUAAAUUAAUUUAUCUGCACCUGCAAUGUAACAUACCUCCUGCUGCUGUCUGGCUUUAGACAAAUUCUGAUCAUGUCUCUGCAUGCAUUAAAUGAAAAUAACAAUACGUUAGUUAAUCGCCAUGAAUGGAAGUGUCAUUCCAAAAGCCACCUGUUGGUUAAUCAUUGAGAGAGCAGGAAAACUUACAUUAUCUUUCUUAAAUGCAAGUCUACGUUCCUCACUCUUUGUCUUAAGCACAUCAGUAAAAUUAGGCUGCAAAGAAACAAUCAAUAUCUAAAACACUGCCCAUACAGGUAGAACAUAACAUACAACAAAAUAAAAUGGGAAAACGCUGAAUAGCCAAAGUCCAACUUAGAAUGAUAGUGACCAUAAAUAUAGACAGGCACACUGACCACAAACGAUUGCACAAUGUCAAUGUUGGCCUCAGAAGUGGUAGCAGUCUCCACGUGCUGUACAAAAACCUUCCUAGCCUUCAAUUCCUCUGUUACAAAUCAAGAACAAUGCAUUAGCUUUGUCAAAGUAAGAAUGAGUGGUUUUUGUCAAAUGGGUACAAAAAGUUGCCAAAAAAUCAAGGAAUAUGGAAAAAUUGAAAUGUGAAUUGGACCAAAAAUACAGAAUAGCUGAUUUCAGUUGGACCAUCAAACUGAAUAAGGAAAAGGACAAUAGCCUAGAAAAGUUAUUAGACAUCAGUUAAGUUAGAAUAAAUUUUACUCACAAUGUACAUAUAAAAUCGAAGGAAAAAUUAUAUUAUCGGUAAUCUGUCAAAGUUCUUUAAAUUCAUGAAAGAAAACGAAAGGAAAGCUGAUACUAACUUGCUUACCUAUCCCAGAAGAACUAGAGAUUGACAGCUUCUCAAAGUCCAAUAAUGGCCGCUUCAGUGGUCUCUCAUUAAUUUCAAGCCCUACAAACACAACCAAAUAAUAAAACUAAAAAUAAAAAAAAAAAGCACCUAGAAAGAAAGAAUGAGAGAAAGGAUAACUUACAGAAAGCUUCAAGCGGAGGCCGAGAGGCUUUGCGUUUAACCCUAACAAUGACAGGCUUGUCGUUUGUGGGUUUUGGUGGAGCUGAAGAGCUCUCACCGUGGCUGCUCGCCAUUUAAUCAAACAAACGGUACAGCCAAAAUCUGCUUCAAGGGUGCCGGGUUCCAAGCUUUGCAGACCUGCAAUUGGGGAGUUUUAGAGAAUUGCUCCAAGUUCGAUGCUUUCUAAUGGUUUCUGUUAUGCUGACCCAAUUUGCUUCAUUGAUGAAAAGACCAAGAUGCCCUCAACUCAAGGAUAAACAAUUUGAUUAGGAGUUGAGAUAUUUGUCUAACAGUUGAUAUGCUUCUCAAACAUAUAUAACUUAAAACUCUUCUAUAAUUUCAUCGAGCCAAAUAUUGAAUCCCUGUACUGCAAUUAAUUUCUUUAGCAUGUGAGUCUACGUAACUCUCAUAAAAAAUAAUGCUGAUGACGAAACAGAAAAGUUGAAAACUUUAGCAUGAAUGGGACCGGAACUGAUGACGAAGACGGUGGCGAUAAAAUGCUUCAACGGUGGCCGUUCGUUCGGGCAGCUGGAAUACGACGGCGGCUGGAAGCUGUGUUCGAUGGUAGUAACGCUUGGCAGCUGCUGGAGUGUUGGUCGUCGACAGUGACGCCGAUUUUGGCUUGGUGACUGGUCCUAGUAGGUUUGUUUUGUAUGCUUUUGUUAGCUUAUUCCCGAGGGAUUUGAGUUGGUGGGUGAUUUGAGCUUUCGCGGAAGUGAACAGCGAAUACUGAAGUUAGGACAUCUGACAUCAAAACUAACACUAAAUUAUUUUUUCCAUUAUUUUUGGUGUAAAAUAUUUUUUUAAUAUAAUAAUAAAAUUAAUACUAAAAUAAUAUUAGGAAUAGUAUUGCACUAAAUAUGGUGCAAUACUAUUCAUUUAGUGUUAGAAAAAAAAUUCUAAAUAUCCUUAUUACUUUUUUUUAUUUAUAUAUAUGUCCUAUUUUAUAUAAUAUUUUAAGUUAUUAUUAUUAUUGUUGUUAUUAUUUUUGGUGAAAAAUAUUUCUCUAAUAUAACAACAAAAUUAACACUAAAAUAAUAUUAUGAAUAGUAUUGCACCAAAUAUGGUGCAACACUAUUCAUUUAGUGUUAGAAAAAAAAAUUCUAAAUAUCCUUAUUAUUUUUUCUUCUUUAUAUAUAUGUCCUAUUUUAUAUAAUAUUUUAAGUUAUUAUUAUUAUUAUUGUUAUUAUUUUUAUUUCAUUUUUGAAUAUUAUACUAAUAUUUUAAAUAAAAAAUAUUCAACACAAAAAUUAAUAAUAUAAAUAAAAUGCCAAUAACAUUAAUUACUAGAUUACAUAUUACAAAAUUAAAUUAACACAAAUUAAAAAGCUACUACUACUAGUAUAAAUUAGAACAAUUAUUUAAUAAUAUGGGAGAUCAUUAGUUUUCAUAAUGUACUAAUUUAGUUAAUUAAAUGUAAAUUUAAUAAUUUUCUAUAUUUUUUUUGUUAAUAGAUAUAAAAUUGCUUAUUACUUAAUUAUCUAUAUUAAUAGUAAUAUUUAUUGUGUUAAUUGAAUUAAUUCUUAAGAAUUAAAAGAAUAAAAAGAAGAAUAUUUUUUUUAGUGCAAAAUUUGGUAUAAAUAGGUUGGAGAUGAAAUAAUAAUUUAGUGUGAAAAAGAUAUAUUUUUUGUAUUGGUGUUACAUUAAAAUGGUGUUAAGCAUAGGAGAUGCCUUAGGCAUUUGAGUUAGAACCCCCCCUCCCCCCAAAAAAACAAUCCGUUCGGUUUGCAUAUUGGUUCGGAUUUUUUUAACCCGAACCGAAGUACAAACCGAUUGGUUUUAGUUUUUAUCUCAUUGAGGUUUUAAAGGUGAACCCAAAUCGAAUGCCCACCCUUGGCUGCCACAGUUGGGCUGCGGCAAUUAUCAAAUAGUUGAGUAGCUGGAUUCAGUAAUCCCAAACGGGCUGUUGAUACCACGGCCCUGCCCUUUUUGUCAACCCUCUUCCAAGGGUAUGCUAGUUGUUAGGGCAAUUUCUUUUUCUUAUGGACUCAUAAAUUUCAUAGAGAUCGAGGCCCAAUUAAAGGUUUUGCUUCUCUUUUGGAUUAUUUGUCCCAUCAAUUAAGAUUUUCACACUUUUAAGGAGUAAAUUAAAGAUUAUCGUUAAAUAAAUUAUAAUUUACCCCAUUGUUAUUUAUUAAAUGUUGGACCAUCCAUCUAUUUAAGAUAAUAAAAAGGGCGAAGCUUUCCUUUUAUAAAUCCCCAACCUAAGAAUAAAAUCAAGAAGUGUUCUAUAAUGGAUUUACUUUUCUCCAUAUCUACAAUGUCUUGCUAAAGGCACUCAACUUGUUAAAAUAAAAAGAUGUUCAAGGAAUUGAAGGUUGACAGAACACUGAAUAAAAAAAAAGGAGAAGAAGAAGGGUAAAUUGGUCUGUUUCACUACACAUAUUAAUUGAUAUUUUUCAGUUUCUAUAAUAAAAUAGAUCUAUUUUAAUUGUUAUAUUUUUCAGUUGCUUUUAUCAGCAUUGGGUUAUAGUUUUCUCUCAAAAUAUCAUUACUCAUUAAAUUAAAACCUCCAAUAACAGCCAAAUCAAACCUUACCAUAUAAACUUCUCUUUUGCUUAAGAAUGUAAGAAAAGAUUGAUACAUAAAAUGUUAUCUUGCUCACUUUAGAAAUUCUCUUAUCAUGAUCAUUAACUAACUAACAAUGCCUAAAUUUCUAAUAAACUAAUAUUUAGGAAACUAUAACUACCCACAUCGAGAGAAGAAAUCUACCCCUACUAGGGAUGGCAAUUUCCGGGUUCGGGUCCGGGUUUGGCUGUUCCGGAUCCGGACCCAAAAUUUUCAUAACCGGACCCGCAUUAAACCCGGGUUUUUUAAAUCUGGGUUCAACCCGGAAAAAUCCGGGUUUCCGGAUUCCGGGUUUUGAACCCGGAUUGCUUUAUUUUUUUUUUUAGAGACCAUAUAACUUACUUUAACAAGGCACAGGGGAUGGGGUUUAAUGUUUUAAUCUUUUCCCCAACAACACAUUACACAAUUCUUCCUAGAAUUGGUUCAAUAAAUUUUGAUGGAUAAAAGGCAAAAAAAAGAACAUAUAACACAUCAGUGACAUCACUAGACUACUAGAACCAAAUUGUUUAACUUUGGUUCAUCAAAAUUUGCUGGACACAGGGCCAAAUAACAGAACAUAAUAACACAUCCAGCUUCUAAAACAAAUACAACACAAAUACACAAUAUAAAAUCUAAAAUUAAAAGUUUUAAAGUAAUAAACAUCCACACAUACAAAUUCAUAACAUAAUUCUAUAAUUUAAAGCUGAAAUUUCCAGCCACUGCCCACUAGUGCUCAGAUUUCCAGCCACUGCCCACAGCCCACCAGUGCUCAAAUUUCCAGCCACUGCCCACCUUUGGCUAAUUAUACUUCAAAUUCAAUUCUAAGCUUGCUCACUAACCAACUCUUAAUGCACAAAACCAACAAUACGCGGCAGAAGAAAAAUGGCAACUGUUCUGUUUUAGACAACAGUUUCUCCUUGUGCCAGAAAAACAAAGAACAAAAAGAGGCAAAUAAUUCAGAAAAAUAAAAAGCUUAUAAUUAGUCAAGUGCUCUCAUAUGUCAUAUACAAAGAAAACCAUGUCUGAGGAAAAAUCAAAUUGUGCCAGCAGCAAUACAAGCUCAAAGCAUAACAGCACAAAAAUUGCAAAGAGGGAAAAUCAAAGUGUAAUAGAGCAUAAAUUGUAAAGAGAAAAGCCGAGACUCACAAAUAUUCACAGCGGCAGCUGAAGUAUAUGCUGAUGAACACAGAACACAGCAGCGAGGCUGAGGUGGAUUUCAACCCCUUUUGCUGGCCGCGACAGAGUGAGAGAUCAGACGAGUGAUGAAACGAACAAAGCCUCGCCGUGAAGGUGAUGACAAGCCACGACGCGAAGGAUCUGAUCUGAUCUGAAGAAGAGAUUACAAGAGAGUUGCAGAGAGAGUGAGAGAGAUUAAGUGACGAUGGAGGACUGAGAUGAGCAAUGAGUCACGGCUCACGGGUGAGAGAGAUUGAGAGAGGAACGGAUUACGGUUUACGGAUGAGACUUGAGAGAUUGAAAGGAGAAAUUACAGAUUUACAGUAAUUUUUUUUAGGUUGAAGGAGAAAUUUCGAGAGAGGAUUAGAGGAACGAGACGAGAGAGAUCUAGAUUCUAGGGUUCACUUUCGUUUUCGUUUUUUUUUUAAUUUUUCUAUUUAUAAUUAUGGAUUUACGAAUCAAAAUUAAUAUUAAAAUAAAUAAUAUCCGGGUCCGGGUUCCGGAUUUGCGGGUUCACCUAAAACCGGAUCCGGACCGGAAAAAUGCGGGUUGUCAAAAACUGAUCCGGAUUCCGGAUAAAAACUAUGCCGGUGCGGGUUGAACCCGGACCGGAUUUUCCGAGUUCAAUCCGGAUCCGAUCCAGGUCCGGGUUUGAUUGCCACCCCUAACCCCUACCCAAUAAUAAGAGGAGAAUAAGAGUCCUUGCGGCCUGAACCCACUCUCCCUCAACGUUUUUUGAGAGGGUGAAUCACCACUGAAUUAUGAUAUAUCUAGCUGGUGCCCUUUGUUUGAAAUGUGAAAAAGAAAAAAAGAAUAUAACACAAAGAUCACUAAUGCAAAAUAAACUAAGUAAUUAUAAUGUAUAAGGUAGUUUUUUUUUUCAAUUUCUAUUUGAGAAGGAUUAUUCACAUGUAGUCUAGUAACUACUUUUGAACUUGCAAUGUUGCUUAAUUUAUGGCUCAAGAGUGUUGGACUUUAGGCGAUGAUACACAAUCAUUCUUUUCUUGUACCACAGCUAACAAUGAUGUUGCUAUAGGCAGCCGUCCAGGCCUCCACAUUGAAAACAAUAUUGCUACAAUUAUAUUAAUAGGUGGGACGGUGGUAAAUUGUUGAUUUUUAUGUCCCUUUAUAUUGCCAUUUCACACAUUCAUUGACCAAAAACUGUUUGGGCAAGCAAAUGAAAUGAAAUCUGUUUUGAAUUUAACAUACAACUACCAACAAUGGUGACCCUAAUGAAUUAAUAAUUGUCCUCGGGAGUUGGUUUUUGUUGCACCGAAUAUUAAUUAAUUUCUCUUGUGAAUUUGCAUAACCUGUGUUGUCUUGGUACCAGCUCGAGCACGUUCUGCCAUUAAUGCUGCAAUAUCUGAAACUUAAUUCGAUCUCCAAUUUCAGGCCGUUGUGUUUUUUCUUCGAUGUUGUUAGAACAUUAGUUUAAGUUGUUUCCUACUUUCCUUGCAUCAAUUGUAAGGCUGUUCAGUAGCAUUUAUUACGGCUUUAGAUCUUUUUACUGAUCUUUCAGAAACAUACAAUUAAUAGUUAUUAGAUUAUAAUAUAAAACUAACGAAACGUUAGUCUUAUUUUGUUAUAUCUAAACGUGUCAUCAAAAAUUAUAAAGAGUUAAAAUACAUAUCAACUCAACACUGGAUUCAAAUCUACAAUACAAUUAUUUCAAAUAUUUAGAUACUUCCCAAAAAAAAUUUAUGGUUGAUCUCCAAAUUUUCAUGUAUUGUGCAUAAUAUACCAAAAAUUUAACUUUUAAAACGAAAAAAAAAGUUUGAGGAGUGUGCCCAAGAAUUUGAAUUUUUUUUUUUAAGGAAAUAAUUCCAUUAACAUUAAGAACUACAAUUCUCAAAGAUAACAACAUAGGUGUGGUAGAAAAUCUUCCAACCAAAAAUAAAAAUCCUUACAACGGGCUGAAUAUUUUGCUAAAGCAUCCGCUGCUGAAUUACAAACCCUUGGGACACGUCGAACUUGAAAAGAAUGCUUUGGAGAAGGUAAGUGCUUCACUUCAUAAAUAUGCCAAAACAAGUUAUGGGACAAGCAAUAAUCUAAAGAAUUGAUUCCUUGACUGAUUCCUACAGCCUUAGCCACAUAACAUCAUUAGAGAAAACCCCUUGAUUGAUUCCUGCAACCAUCACCAAACCAUAACGGUUGCGCAUAAUAGCACCACAACCCACUACACCCUUAUUUGCAUCUACUGCAUCAAUAUUCAUUUUCAUCCAAUCCAUAGGUAAUGGCUCCCACUACAGAUCCUCAUGCCUAUUACUACUCAAUUUACAAUCAACACUAGUGAUAGCAAUAUUGGCAAAGGACUCCAAAAUUCUUGAGCCUAUGCACAUAAUAUUUUGUGGCUUACUAGAUUGUCCCCCAAGCAUCAUAUUGUUUUGUGCCUCCCAAAUACACCACAUAAUCAUCAUCAACAAGCAUAAUUCAAUGCUAGAUAAGGUGGAAAUAACAUACUCAAGAAAACCCCAACAAUUAUUAACACAAUCACACAAAAAUAAAUUUGGAAAAAUUGCAUCCUUCCACGCUUGUUGUGCAAAAUCACAAUGAAACAAAGAAUGCAUCAGGGUCUCAUAUGAAAGGUUACACAAGCUACAACAAGCAUCAGACAAUACCCUUCUAUUUGUUAGAUUAGCCUUUGUCAGAAGAACAUUAUUAAGAGCUUGUCAAAGGAAAAUCUUUACCUUAGGUAGCAACUGAGGAAUCCCAAAUCUAUAUAGCCAAAUGAUACCUAGAUUUUUAAGUAUACAGCCCACAAUUAUCAAAAUCCAAACACACAGCAUCUUCCAUCGGCAUAAAAGGGAGCGUCAAUUUUAGAAUCAGUUCAACAUUCGUUCCCAUGGUCAAUCAGAUAAUCCACUAUCGUCCUAGUGGUAGUGAAAUUGGUUGAGAUAAGCCUGAAAGUACUUGGUCUUGGCAGCCAAUUACUAUCAUAAGCAUUAAUGCUAUGACCAUUUCCAACACACCGACAAAGACCUGUUGUGAUAGUACUCGUCCCCACAGAAUACUCUGCCACAUAUAAGAAAGAUUAGAGCCUAAAUCUACAUGGAAAAAAAGGGUUGUGCCGAAAAUUUCUAGUUCAAAACACCCUUGAAACCAGCAAAUCAUCAUAAAACAACAACCGCCACCCUUGCUUAGUCAGCAUGGCUUGGUUAAAACAAAAAAGAGUGCUGCUAAACAUCGGGAACCUUGAGAGAACCCUGAGAGAAAUGGCAGCUUGUGCUGCCGUUUCGUUCUUUCACCUUCCCCCCCCCCCCCCCCCCCCAACAUGACUAAGAGAAAUAUGUCCCCCAUGUGAAAAAGACUCCCUUUCAACUCCUUUUCCUUCUUCGCUUUCACAGCUCCGUUCCAGUACUCCCUUUCAACUCCUUUUCCUUUCUAUUUUCAACUCCUUCUCCAGCACUCCCACAUGAACUCCAACUCCUUUUCCUUUUGUUCACUCCAACAGCAACUCACUUCGUCUCAGCCUUCCCGACAUUACAGCAGCUUCGUCUCCGUCUGUCUCCCUAGCUUCGUCUCCGUCUUCUCUCGCUCCAGAUCUAAUUAGUGGUCGCUGCUAUCGGUGGUCGAAAACGAGUUUCCUCUCACUCCCUCCCCCCUCUUACUCUGUUUUUCCUCUCACUCCAGCAGCAGCUUCGUCUCAGCCUUCCCGACGUUACAACAGCUUCGUCUCCAUCUCCCCAGCUUCGUCUCCGUCUUCUCUCGAUCCAUAUCUAAUCGGUGGUCGCUGCUGUCGGUGGUCGGUGGUCACUCUCUCCGUUUAGUUGGUAAUUAUUUUUUGAUAAUUAAUUUAUGAUAAUUGUUGGUAAUUUUGUUUGGUAAUUAUUUUGUUGAGUGAUUAUUUUGUUGGGAAUUAUUUUGGUAAUUGUAUUGUUGAUAAUUAUUUUAAUAAUUAAUUUAUGAUAAUUGUUGGUAAUUUUGUUUGGUAAUUAUUUUGUAGAGUGAUUAUUUUGUUGGGAAUUAUUUUGGUAAUUGUAUUGUUGAUAAUUAUUUUAAUAAUUAAUUUAUGAUAAUUAUUGGUAAUUUUGUUUGGUAAUUAUUAUAAGAGUGAUUAUGUUGUUGGGAAUUACUUUUUGAUAAUUAUUUUGAGAAUUACUUGUUGAUAAUUAUUUUUGGAUAAUUGUUGGUAAUUUUGCAAAUAAUUAUUUUGUUGAAAUUUUUGUUGAUAAUUAUUUGGUCAAAACUGCCGGUUGGGUAUAAGUUUUUGUUGGUAACUACUUGGUGAAAAUUGUCUGUUGGUAUAUGUAUUGCACAUGUUGAAAAUUUUGCUAGUAAUAAUGACACGUUUUCAUAUCCACCAGUUUCAACAACAAUAGAAUUAAAAUUCCUAGCAAUGUUAAUUCCUACACAAUCAUUCAUUUCAAUACGCUUUCUUGCACUUGCACUAAUGUUGCGGUUCCAAGAAAAAUAUCUAGCUUUGUCCGGACUCAAUCCAUGAUUGUGUUCAAGGUUUAAAGUUCGAAGAAUCCAUUUUCCAUCUUCAUUUACACAACCUCCAAUUCUAGCAUCACAACCAGUUUUUGCAAUAGGUUUUGGCUUCAGCACAUCAGUAGAUUUACUUUCUGACUUGCCACUACGACCACAUGCAAACGUCGUGAACCGUAUAAUUCCAUCGCUCCCUUUCUUACUAGUUAGCUUCUUAACAGGAAACCCUUCUUGUUUACCAUAGGCUUUGUAAAAUUACCACAUUUCCUCAUGGCUAUCAAAUAACAUCCCAAGAGUCGGCUCAUAUUUUUCCGAUUAUGCAUCUUCGACUCCAUCUUCAUGUUCCAAAUUAUAUAUUUCUACAAAAUAAUUAAUAUUUGUAUUAAGAAUAAAUUAUUAUCAAUUUAUACAAACACCAUCCAGCAAUAAUUUAAUCCAUUAAAGUUCUAAAAAUUUAAAUAAAAAAUGAUAAAUCGAACACAAUUUAAAUUUAAAAAAUUCAAUGUGGAAAUAAAAUUUAAAUUAAGAAUAAAUUAUUAUAAAUUUUUCCAAACACCAUCCAACAAUAAUUUAAUCCAUUAAAGUUCUAAAAAUUUAAAUUAAAAAAAUUAUAAAUCGAACACAAUUUAAAUUAAAAAAAAUUCUAUGUUCAAACAAAAUUUAAAUUAAGAAUAAAUUAUUUAAAAAUUUUCCAAACACCAUCCAUCAAUAAUUUAAUCCAUUAAAGUUCUAAAAUUUAAAUAAAAAAUGAUAAAUCGAACACAAUUUAAAUUUAAAAAAUUCAAUGUGGAAACAAAAUUUAAAUUAAGAAUAAAUUAUUAUAAAUUUUUCCAAACACCAUCCAGCAAUAAUUUAAUCCAUUAAAGUUCUAAAAAUUUAAAUUAAAAAAAUUAUAAAUUGAACACAAUUUAAAUUUAAAAAAUUCUAUGUUAAAAAAAAUUAAAUUAAAAAAUUCUAAAUCAAACAUAUAAUUUAAAUAAAAAGAUUUCUAAAAAUUCUAAAUCAAACACAUUAUCAUUUAAUCAGUAAAUGCAGGUACAUUUCUAUUAUUAUGAUAUAACAAAAAAUAAUAAAAAAAUAAAAAAUUAUUCUUUAAGCUGAGAUAAUUACCAACUGGGUGUUGCUUCAAGAUCUAGAUCGGCCACUUAUUGGAUGAGCUGAAGUAAUGGCUUGUGAUGAGCAAAGAAGUGAACGAGAAAUGAACGAGAAGUGAACGAGCAACUGAUCCCUGAGAAAACUUAGCUUUGCUUGGUCAUGAGCCGGAGUGAGCUUUGGGGACUGGUGACUUUCACGUGGGGGGCCAGAUUUCACUUGGCAAAAGUGAAUUGAGUGUGGGGCCUACUCCUGCUUUUUGUUGACCAUUUAAGAAAGUGUCGUGAAAUAGAAGAAAAAACUAAUAAAAGGGAGUGUUUUUACACGCAGGGGGCCAGAUUUCUCUUAGUCAUGUUGGGGGGGAGCUGAGAGAAUGAAACGGCAGCACAAGCUACUGUUUCUCUCAGGGUUCUCUCAGCUUUCCCGACCUUUAGCAUUUCUCAACAAAAAAAGAUCCUGAAACCUAAGAUCCCUUAACUUUUUGGUUGAGUCAUCCUCCUUCAUCUUGUUUUUCAACAAUUCCUUCCAAUAAUAGCUGAUAAGCCAAAUAUCAUUCAUAAUUCGGAACCUCAACAAGAUCGAACAAAGCAGUUAUCUUGCUCCGAACAUUUUGAGCUAAAUUCGGACUAAAAAGAAUAAAAGAUUUGUUAUAGUAAAAAAUUUGCCUUAAUGCCACAGAAUAAUAAUCAAAGAUGCUCUUUAGCCUGCCACAGUUCUCUAAAGAUUCUCGAUAAAAAACAAGAUUGUCAUCCGCAAAAAAAAAAAAAAAAAAAAAAGAUAGGAAAUGAAUAAAUCACAAGCAAAACAUACCCUUUGGAUAGCCUUUAUAGAUUCACUAGCAUGGAUCAUCAUAGAAAAAACUUCAGCACAUAGAAUAAAUAAAUAGGGCGACAUGGGACACCCCUACCGCAAUUCUCGCUGAGGCUGACACGAACCCCGUACUUAUUCAUUUAUAUUGAACAAAACAUUGAUGUAGUGCACAAGCAAUAAUCAACCUAAUCCACUGCUCAAAAAGACCAAACCAUACAUCACUUGUUGUGAAAAACCCCAUUCAACCCAAUCAUAUGCCUCUACUAUAUCCAACUUCAUCGUUACUAAGCCGUUCUUAUAAGAUUUACAAGACCGCAGUUUAUGCAAGCAUUUGUACCCAACUCUGACAUUGUCGGUAAUCAAUCUAUUCGAAAUAAAAGCACUCUGGUUAUGUGAAAUGACAUCACCCAAAACUGACUUUAGUCUAUUGGCAAUAGCUUCUGUAACAACUUGAUAAAUAAUAUUGCAUAAACUAAGUGGUCAAAAAUUAGAUACAAUAGUUGGAGAUUUAAUCUUUCGUAUGAAAACCACAAUUACAUGAUUUGAAUCAGUGAGGGAAGCACCGUUAUUUUUUUUUUUAUUAAAAAAAGUGGAUAUAACUUGAGUACACACCACACCCUAAUGAUCUUGAAAUAAAGCAGGGGGCAGACCAUCUAGUCCCUAUGCCUUAAUCAGAUGCAUUUGCAUCACAGCUUGACGAACCUCAUCCUUGGAGAAUGAUAAAGUCAAAUCCUUAUUCCCAACAUCCAUAACCCUCACAAGCACAUGUUUUACAGUCGAUUCCCAUUACUGAUUAGUUGGAUUUGACGAAGAAAACAACUUUAUCAAUUAUUGUUCAACAAUACUUCCCAUCUCAGUCAUAUUUGUAUCCAUCUGACCCUCUUGAUCUAAUAGUCCCUUAAUCAAAUUCCGCCGUUGCCUCAUGGAAGCAUAAGAAUGAAAAAAAAAAAAAAAACAGCGUAUUCUUAUCCCCUUCCUUCAUCCAUGAAACGUGAGCCCUUUAUUUCCAGUAUAAUUGCUAUUUGUGAAACAAGUCAUCAAUCUCUCUCUAAAAGCCGAAGCCCAUUAGCAUCACUGUAAUGUCUGUAAGUUUGUCAAAAAGCCUUUAAUUCUGAAUACUUGUCAUAGAAGCGCUGAUGCCACCCUUUAAAUUACACCAAACUCCAUUUAGUAAGGGCAGACAUAGUUUUCGCAACCUUAUAUUGGAAAAGCCAAACAGGAUCACCCUGAGUAGCAGCACCUAGCCAACAAUCACUGACUAGACCUGUACAAGCUGGAUAAGCCUUCCAGCCCACUUCUUAGUGAAAACGAGCCUUCAACCUUCUAUCUUGCAAAGAGUCCUCUGAACUAGUAAUAUCUAAAAGAAUAGGACAAUAAUCCAAUCACCAAAAAUCAAGAUAAGUAACUGUUGAACAUUAGCCCAAAUCUUGUCAAGCACAGUUACUAAAAAACCUGUCUAGGCAUUCCUCCACCAAACCCACAUCAUGCCGCCGAUUAGCCCAAGUUAGGGUUGGCACUAUAUGGUUCGGUUAGGUUUAGAUAGAAAAUCGAACCGAACUGAAACUGAUUGGUCCUCUCAAAUUAAAACCGAAUGCAACCCACAAUUUAAAACCAAACCGAAUCGAUGGUUGUGUGGUGCGAGAAGAGCGGCUGCCAACUGCGUGUAUGGUGUCAGAGAGGAGCAGUUUCCAGUGGCAGAAAUAGGAUGUGCUGAUCAGAGUGUGAGAGUGUGUUGCCGCUGUGUUUGAGAGAUGAGUGUGUGAGAUUUAGGUUUCCGCUCAAUCUAUAUAUAUAUAUAUAUAUAUAUAUGAAUAUUAAAAUAUUUUUAUUUUUAAAUGAAAGAACCCAAUGGUUUUUUUGUUCAGUUCGGUUUUGUGCUAAACCAAAUACAAACCAAUCGGUUCUUUAAUUUCCAAACCAUUUGGGCUUUAUCUUUAAAACCAAAUUGAACUUAAUCAAAAAAUAUUGGUUCAGUUUGGUUCGGUUCGAUAAAAACCGAACCGAAUGCCCACUCGUAGCCCAAGUAUAUGGGCACCCCACAAAUCCCAUAUCAGUUAAUUCACAAUCCUAAAAAAAAGAAAGAGAUUGUACACCAAGGUGGCCAUUGUCUUUGUACAAUUUUAAAGUAGAAUUAGCAAUAAAUGCAUGGGUGGGGAUAUUUCCACCCCAUUAUUUGUGUAAACCCACUCCACUUCUAAAAAAUAUUUACAAUAAAUGCACAUUUUUUUCUAAUAAAUACAAAUCAACAAAAAAUUUAUAUAGUUAAUCAAUUAAAUCGUUCUUAUAUUUUUUCUUACUUAGUUUUUUUUUACUAUUAAAGCAGCUUUAAUAUAAGUUCUAUUUAAUUAUUUUGCUUUAUGACAUAAAAUGACCCACUUGCCCGAAAAAAAUGUGUUCUUGUAUCUAAUACUUUAGGUACUUAAUUUUGUAACUUAUAAUCUAACUUCUUAAAUGAAGUCUAAUAAUUUUUAAUAUUUUACAUGCAAAUGACAUAAAUUUGACAGUCUAAUAAUUUAAUGAGUAUUUUCUCAUAAAGACAUUAUGUUAGUUUAAUUAAAAUUUGAUAAUCAUACUAAUAAAGUAGAAUUAACUAUUUAGAAACAAUGAAUUUUGUAUAAAAUUAAAAAAAUUUGUUGAAGUUAAAUUAAAUUUUUGGUAUUUUUACCUUUUAAAGAUAAAAUAGUCAAUUUAAAUUUAGGUUAAAGUAAUCUUAUUAGUCAAAUAUAAUAAAAAAUUUUAAGUCACAACAAAAUAAAUGAAGAUAUAUUUUAUUGAUUAAUUCUUUUGAAUUCUUCUUUAUUUGAAAAUUUAAAAAAAAAAUUUGUAAUUAUUUUCUAAAAAUGGGGUGGAUUUGCAGAAUUUGUGGGGUGUAAAUAUCACCACACUAAAUGCAUAUACCUAAACUUUGUUAAAGCAAAGUUUGUGGUCCGCGAGUACUAUAUUUAUUUAUAAAUUAGUCCCUGAACUUUAAAAUCUUGAGGUUUUAACCCAAGUUUUACUUACUUGUUUUUAUGUUGUGACCCCUACUAUAUUCACCUCUAUGAUGUUUGACCUGUUAAAUUUUAAAUUCUAGCUCCACCCCCCUAAUUACUAGGUCGAGACCCACGUAUAGGAAGAACAAUCAACAGACUGCAAUUUUUGAAAUCACGAAUUCACUGAUACUAAUUGGUUUAGAUAACAUAUUUCUGGUCUUAAAAAAUAAUUUAGCACUAUACUUAAUAUAAUAUAUGCUAUCCUAAUAUACUAGUAUAAUCGUACUUGUAGAGUUUAAUUAAGUUCUAUUUAUCGCUAUUAAUUUGUCAAGAGAUAAAGGAGUUAAUUAUUUCGUCAACAAAACUUACUGAAUAUUAUUAAUUUAUGCUAUAAUCUGGUAGUUUUAUUUCUACCUCAAUGAAUAUUUUGAACCACAGAGGAUUACGCAUGCGUAUGGCCUUUGUUAGUGAUGUCGAGUCUUACCAUACAAGUUUAGACUUUUUGGUCAAGUACUUCAUCAAAUAUCAAAGCAAAAGUCUCAAAUUUUGAUCUAUUGCAAAUUUGUAAUGAUGAUCGAUUUUAAUUUUAAUUAAUUUUUCUUUUUCAAGCUCUUGCGUCAAUCUUAUGAAUCUCUUUUCUUAGCUCGUCUACUUUUUUUAGGCUUUUGUCUGAAUUUCUUAAAUUCAUAUUUGACACGAGAAAUUAUAUUAAGUGUCUGUUUGGUAUGACUUAUUUAAUUGCCAUAAGUGCUUAUUUAAGUACUUAUUUAAUCUCAUAAGCUCUUAUUAUAAUUUUUGUUAUUGUUUGGUUAUUUUUUUAGUAAUACUUUCAGAGCUUAAAUAAGUUAUUUUGCCUCUAUUAGAAAAAGCUCAAAAUUUGAACUUUUGAGAAUAGAGGUUGAAAUUUUUUUUAAAUGUUAAAAUAUCUAAAAUAUCAUCUACUUAUUUGACAAUCUUAUUUUAUUCUUUUCAUAACAUAAUUUAAAAAAACUUGUCCAUCAAAGUAAUUUCAUAAAUUUUUAAUAAAAGCUCUUAUUGACAACCAAACAACUAAAAUUUUUAUGCAAAAAUUUUAUUUGUAUAAACUCUACUAUCAAAAGCUUUACUUAAAUAAACUUUAAUGAAAAAUUGUACCAAACGGAGUCUAAGACGUAUUUGAUUUUAUUUUUGUGACUUGACCUGUCAAUUUAAACUUGAAAACAAGUCUUUGAUUAGGGGAAACCUGUGGACUGAAUAUUAGUGGACCAAUCGUUGGAUGUCAGUGGACCCCAUUAAUCCAAGUGCAUCCAACGACUGGAUGCAACUGUGGCACGGUACUACAGUUGCACCGUAGUCUGAUCCCUUUGAUUACCCUAAAUUAGAUCCUUACAAAUCAAACUUAAAUUUUUGAUCCAGCAAUUGAUCUAAUUUAGCUCCCAUAGGUCAUAAUCAUGACGUGCUUGAAAAGACACUGCCAUGUACUAGGUUUCAUUUAUUUAGUCGCUCUGUAUCUUGACUUGAAUUAAGUUCAAAGCUUGAAAUAUUUCGAGAAUUGAUACAAAAUAGUGCAACGUAUAUACAUUCUUGUCCGAAUAAAGAGUAAUUAAUAGUCUUGAAAAUACUUCAAAAGUCCACAAAGUGUAACAAUUCUAUCGAAGAGUUUAUGGAUAUAUUUAUAAUACAUUGAUAAUAUCUAUUUGGUUAUUGAACUGAGUUUGUUCAUUUUUUAUUAACUUUUUAACUUAUUUAUCGUUUUUAAGUUUUUCUUUGAAUUUCUCGAAUCCACAUUUUACAUUAAGAAUUUAUGUUCAAAUGUAUUUAAUUUUAAUUUUGGAAACUACAGCUAUGCCCUGAUAUCAUUUUUUUUUUCAAAUCUUCUUGUAAAGCAAAUAAACUAAAUAAAUGUGUUUAUGAACAUUUUAACCAUUGAUUGAAAGAUACAUAUGAUAAUUAAAAAAAAUAUUAUUAAACAUAGAGCAAUGCAUCUAAAACAACCGAGAUUUUUCAUAUAUUCUUUUUAUUCAUACUUAUCUAAACUUAAGUAAAAUUUAAAUUUAUUUAGACUUUCAGAUUAGAAAUGGGAAAAGGAAAAUCUACAUAAUUUAAUAUAUUAAUUUUUCAUACUAGAUGAAUCCAAAAAGUUCUAAAUAGUAUAAUAUUCAGUCUGUCCAACUUUGAGUUUCGUUCUUUCAAAGGUUAACCAAAAACUAGAAAGAUCCCAUUAAUUAAUAAAUUAUGUAGGUAAUAAAAUUCAAGGCCCAAAAUAAUUUGGUGGGCACUACCUCAUGGCUGAUGUCACGCCAUAAUGACUGUUUUUUUUAUUCUUCCACUCAAAAGAAAAUGUUCCUCGAAUAAUUUACGGACACAUGCAAAAUAAACAAAUUAGGUUUUGAAAGAGGGUACUUUAAAAUUGACAGUGUUGUAUCUUCUAGCUCAGACGCCGUCAUAUAGUUAAAAAAAAAUUAAUAAAAAUCAAUAAAAUUUCAUUUAUCUGACGUUGUCUGGACUGUUGGAAAUGUUAUUUCAAUGGUAUUGUAUUCACAAUUUAAAAAAGAAUAUUGUUUAAAUUAAAAUAAGUUAGGAUGAUAUUGUUGGGACAAAGCUUGUUUAAUUUUUUUUACCCUUUAUUAUAACCUGUUCUAAUUCUUAUUAUCAAAUCAAGAUCGUUAAUUUCGUUUAAAACUUUAAAAUGAAAGAGAAUAAUUUUAAUCAGGUUGUGAUUCAAAAGUGAAUUUGUAAGAUAACUAAAUAAAUUAGAAUUUUUGUAAAUAGCAUAAAGUAGAAGGGGGCUGAAUGUUAUUAUAUCCAAGAUCAGAGUACGCAAAAUGGUGCAAAUGUCGGGUCUCCAAAGUUAUCUAUUUUCACGGCUGGCCCACUCAACCCCGCUGUUUAAUAUUUUUUUAUUUUUUAAAUUAUAAGUUGAAAUAAACGUAAUUUAGGGAAAUUCUAUGCUAUAUUGGAUUCCUUUAUUUAUAGUGUGUAAGUGGACCAAUCACGAAUUGCCAAGAUUUAAGGACAAAACGGACACUUGGCAGAACAAGAGGGCUCACCCGAUCCGAAUCAUUCGUGCGUCUUUCAUUCCUUCGCGUCUCGUCUGAUUAAUUUGCUUCACCUGUUUGUUUGUCUGCCAAGCGGUAUCAUCGAUCCAGCAAAAGCCGUCUCCUUUGAUUUUCCAUGCCAAAGCAAAUUUGUCUGGCGUGAUUACCGAUGGAAAUUUAAUUAACAAAUAAUCAUCAACUGAAUCAAAUUCAAAUUUGUUUGGAAUAAAAAUCAACACACGAACAGUAAGAAUCUACCAAAAGUAUGUAUUUCUCUUUUUGUUACGGAGAUGUAACAAAUGAGUGAUCCAUUUUUUUUUGUUAUUUUUCUUUUUCUUAAAAGUAAAAGAGUGCUGAAAAAUCUAAAUAAUUUAUUAUUACUAUUUUUGUAAUCUUGUAUCUCUUUUACAAUUCGAAUUGAGAUGACCCAAAAGAAUUGUCUAAGAAGAAGCAGUCAGGUAAAUCCUUAGAAGCAGAUUCUUUCCUUUGCGUAGAUGAAUUGAACAAAAACUUGUCAAUUAAACGAAUUGGUAGGGAUUUGAUGUGUUAUUAUAUUACAUGUUAAUGCAUGCAACUGAUCAAAACAUUAAUGUUAUCAAGGUAUAUUAAUAGGAUUUUAUUAUUAUAAGAUUGUUGUAACAUUCCCUCUUUUUGGAUUCUCGAUACGUGUUUUUUUUUAUAAUUAUUAUAAAGUCAUAAAUAUACAUAUGACAAGAAUCAACAAGUACUUGGCUUAUUUUUGUUUAUAUUAUGCAUUAAUUUGUGAUAAUUUAUAAGCUUUUAAUUAAUAAGCACGAACUGGUUGGGAUUUGGUGAUGCAUUAUAUUAUGCAUUAAUGCAUGCAUGCAGUUGAUCAAAACAUUAAUGCUGUCAAGGUAAAGGGUGGUGGUCGACAUAAAACCACAUUUUAUGCGCACAGCCACAUUAAUUAAUUUUUUUUUCUUAACCAUGAGGUAUUUUGGGAAUGGUCCCAACUGUGGGAAGGACCUUUAAGCCCAUACCACAAUUCAGACUAGAAGUUUCCGCUCAAACCGGGAGACGCAGGUUCUCCCAACAAAGGCGACUUCUCUGCGACUCGAACUGGGGAGCAAACCCAAUCAAGCCACUUAAGGGGACUCCAUUGCCAGUGGAGCCAACACUUUGUUGGUAGCCACAUUAAUUAAUAUGUCAAUUUUUAAACGUAAAAUUUUAUUUAAUUCCCCAAAUUUUUUUUGUUUUGUUUUUUUUUUUUCCUUUUUCUUGAGAAAACAGAACAGAACUUGUGGUAUGUGUCAUUCUCCAUGGCCAACGUUUCUGACUCUCUUUCACACAACUCUACUUCUUCCCUUUCAAUUCACUAAACACAUGCACAUAACUAUCGAGAUCCAAUUUAUAUCUAACGACGAGAUCUCAACAAUUCGUAGAGCCGUAACAACUUUUCACAUUUUCACCUCUUAGGAUCUGGGUUAAUUAUUUAAUUAGUCUUCAAAUCGAGAAUAUUUAAUAGAUUUAAAGAAACAUACAACGGGGAUAUUAUGGAUAAUUGACUCAAACCCUAGAGACCAUGAUAAUAUUUAGCUUAAUAGAACUUAUUUAAAUCAUUGUCUUAAUAUUUUGAGAAAGUUUUACAUAAUCUGUAUGGCCACGUAUAUUUGAUUCUUACCAUAUGUACUUGUUAACCAAUCAAGUCAGAAUUUACAUUUGAUAGGAAAGAAUCUAUUAUAUAUAUAGAGAGAGAGAAUAAUAAUCUCCUAUGAGACAGUACUCAUCUAACUGUGAGCGACACUGUCACGUAGUCUUGUCUAAUAAGUCCACGAUCUUAAUAUUGUUUUCAAACUACAUAUGAACACACAAGAACUUCCCCACGUAAAUAAAGAAAAUAAAUUAAUUCACUAUUUUUUUAAAAAUUUUUUAAAGUCCUUUAUAAGAGACGCCCUGGCAAACAGAAUUGAUUAAGCCCAACGGCCAAGACAAGGCAGUAGUGCAUGCACACACUGUAAAAUUCUCUUGGCCAUUAUGCCUCUAAACAGCAACAUUCUUCAAUGGCUUAGCCUUGUGGGGGCGAUAUGGCUUCAAUCCAUAAACGGAACCAACUCCAACUUCCCUGCUUACUCCUCUCAACUCAAGCAACUCCUCUCCCUCUCCCAGCUCCAACUCAACAACCUCGCCUUCGCUUCCGACGCCGGAAAACUCUUCGGUUGGAUCUCCGGCGUCGCCUCCGUCUACUUGCCCCUCUGGCUUGUCCUCCUCAUCGGUUCCACUCUCGGCUUGAUCGGCUACGGCUUGCAAUACCUCUUCUUAACGCACACCAUUUCCCAUCUCUCUUAUGCCCAUAUUUUUUUGCUCACUGUUUUAGCCGGCAACAGCAUCUGUUGGAUCAACACCGUCUGUUACGUAGUCACUAUUAAAAAUUUCCCAUUUGAUCGCCAAGUCGCCGUGGGGAUCACGUCUAGUUACCUGGGGUUGAGUGCAAAACUUUACACUAGUGCUGUUAAUGCUAUAGAAACUUCAUCACCAAACAAAAGGGCUAAACUGUAUCUCCUUUUCAACUCUAUAUUCCCUUUACUAGCUUGCGUUGUUACAUCACCGGUUGUGAGAGAGAUUGGUGAUCAUGUACAAGAAUCAUCAUCAUCAUCUAGAAGAAGAACGAGAGGUGGGUUUGUUUUCAUGUUUUUUGUAACAAUAGUCACCGGAUGCUACGCCGUUUUGGGAAGCUUGGACUUGUCCAAGUUGAAGACUCUACUGCCACCGGUUAAGAAUUUGAUUGGUAUUGUCAUUUGCUUAUUAGCACCGCUAGUGAUUCCAUUAGGGGAGAAAAUUAGAUGUUUUGUUGAGGAUAAAAGGUUGAUAAAUAGAGUUAAAAGGGUGCAUAAUUCGACCAGUAUUGAGGAAGUUUCAUCAAGAUUGGAGAAUGGGGUGGCGACGAAAGAAGAGGAGGAUCAUCAACUGAGAGAUGAUGAUAGUGAUGGGAUUUAUCAUGGGUUGGGUGCUAAGGAAGAAAUUGGAGCCAUGCUGAUGCUACAAAGAGUUGAUUUUUGGUUGUAUUUUUUUGUUUAUUUCUCUGGUGCAACACUUGGCCUCGUGUUCUUGAACAACUUGGGACAAAUCGCUGAGUCCCGUGGCUGCUCCGGAACUUCUUCUCUUGUCUCCUUAUCCUCUUCAUUUGGUUUCUUCGGCCGCCUCAUCCCGUCGCUUUUCGGUUACUUUUUCUCAAGGUAAAUUAAUCAACUUAUAUCUCUUUUAUCUCCCUAUUUUUCAUAGGCAAAACAGCCGCGACGCCCUGUGGUUUGAUUAAGUGAUUUGAAAAACACUCUAUUGUUAUAAAAACAAAUGGUUAUACAGUCUUAAGUUUUAAUUUCUUUAAGAUUUAAAAAAAAAAAAUCACACUGACACAUGUUAAAAUUUGUUCAAAAAAGAGAUCCGAAUGAUCAUAUGUAGAAACAAGAGGGUAUCUAUAUCCCCCAUAUCCCUAUAUAAACCACCACGAAGUGACUAAUGAAUGUACUUUUCCAUUCUUUUCUCAUUAGGAUUUUCCUUUUGCUUUUUUUUUUUAAUUUAUUUAUUCAGUGGUCUAAUCAAAUGGUUGCAUCUACUUCCGAGAGGUGUUUAAUGGGAAAAAAAAAAGCAUGUACAUGAAUAUCCAUUUGACUUUUGCGCAAGCAAACUUUUAAUUUAUCUUUUAUCUUUUUUUACAGGAGUAAGCACAUGAUUCCAAGUCCAGCUUCAAUAGGAGCAUUAAUGGCACCAAUGGCAGGAGCUUUUAUGCUACUUCUCAACGAAACCAACGUAGCUCUGUACACAAGCACUGCCAUUAUAGGUGUAUGCAGCGGAGCAAUUACUUCGAUAUCGGUGACCACAACAACCGAGCUGUUUGGGACCAAGAAUUUCAGCGUGAAUCACAACAUUGUUGUUGCAAAUAUUCCAAUUGGGUCCUUUGUUUUUGGGUAUUUAGCAGCACUUGUUUAUCACAAAGAAGGCCAUAAUGCACACAAUGGCAAAUGCAUGGGAAUGGCUUGCUACAGAAGCACUUUUAUUUUAUGGGGUUCUUUUUGUCUUUUUGGUACAUUUCUAGCUUUGAUAUUAUACGCUCGUACACGAAAAUUCUAUUCACAAAGACAUUAACCCAAAAAAAAAAAAAAAAUACAAAAUGAAUAGAGUCUCGUAUAUAGAGAUAAUUACCUUUUAUCACGUUUAUGGCACUAAAUUAAAUAUGUAAAUGUAUUAUUGUAUGAGAAUGUACAUGUCAUCAGUGAUGUGAUUAAGAGGGCAGCAAAUACUUGAUGUGAUUUUGAUUAUGGAAGUGCCGUGUGGCUCGUGGCUUGUGGCUCGUGGCUUAACAACUAACAACCACAAAUUGAGUAUCUCUGUGUGGUAUAUAUAUGGGAUCACGCGAAGCAAAUUUGUACUCUUUGAUUCUCGAAUCAGAUAAUAAGUGUCUCCUUUUAAGUUAUAUUUAAUAUAACUUAUAAUUAUGUAAAAUUCAUUCAUUACUCCAUCCGAUUCUAUUAUUUUAUUACUCUUUUUUUUUACUGAAACUCUAGUUACAAAUUGUAAUAAAUGAAAUUUAAGAAAGUCUAAUUUUAUAUAAAUCUUCAAGAUCUGAACUCUGUUAAAAUUUAAAAAAUUAUUAAAUUAUAACAGUAUAAUAAUAUAAUACUAUUAAAUCAUAUAUUUCAAUAUCCUAGAUCAUAUUAGUGACACACACACAUAUGCAAAGUAGACAGUACUCUUGAUUCUUGAAUACGAUGAUAAUUGUGUGUGUGUGUGUGUGUGUGUGUGUGUGUGUGUGUGUGUGUGUGUGUGGUGGGGGGGGGGGGGGGGGGGGGGGGGGGGGGGGGGGGGGGGGGGGGUCACUGUCAUACUGCAAUCUAAUUAAAGACGAGAAGGAGGGCGAUAUGAUUUUGAUGUUGAGUUCACACAUCUGACAUCAUGAUAUGCUCAUGAUGACCAAUGUUGUGUCAAAUGGGUAUUGUGCAUGUAGUAGGAAAAAUUUAUAUCACAUUUUUUUUUAAGAACGUUAAACACAGGUUGUUACUGAUAUUACAUUAAAUAUUACAAUUAAUAUUUAUAAUUAUACUAUAUAAUUAAAACUUCCGUCAUACAUUGACCCACUAAAGUAUUUACUUAAAUUCUUUAAAGAGUGUGUCUAUAUACACUCUGAAAAUUACUUUGAACACUCAUAUUUUUAUAAAAAAAUUUAUUACAAAAAUACCCAUGAUAUAAAUUACUAUUAAGGACACUUUAUUAUGAGCACAUAUAAUAUUAUUACUUUACACACUCAUUUAGGGCACUGCAAUUAAUGUUUAAUUUUCUUAUUAUUUUAAAUCUUAAGUUUUUUCUUCCAAAUAUCUUAAACAAAUAUUUAUAAAGGAAACUUAAUAUGUGAAGAUUUUAACUUUAAUGAGGUAUGUGUGAUCCUUUUAAUUUUCUAAUUUACAGCACAAAUAAUCUACCUUGUUCUUCCCCUUCCAGAUGGUUAGGUAAGUGAAUUGAUUGCCGUAUGAAUUUUAUGGAGUUGAGUAUAACGGGAUGUUCAAAUAUUGAAAUUCAUAUUGAAGUAUAAUGUUAUGGCUAGCAUGCGUCUUUGUGUUCAAGUAUUGAAAUUAGUUUUGAAGUACAAUGUUAUGGCUACCAGGUCCUAAAUUCAACUAUUGAAAUUCAAUUUUGGAAUAUAAUAUUAUGGCUAGCAUGUGUCUCGUUUGUGGGUCCUGAAACUACACAAAAUAGAUUCUUAAUUUCCAGCUGAGGAGUGUGUUCUUAUGUGCAUGUGGCGUAUGUAUUCUUUUGAUGAACAAACGGUGAUCAUUACUUUAAAAUAUUUUAUAAUUUGUUAUGAUGAACAGGCGUAGUAUUUACAAUUUAUCUUACGAUUUACUUUAAAAUAUCUUAUGUGGCGUCUAUAUUCUUUUACAAUUUACUUUAAAAUAUUUUACAAUUUACUAUGAAAUAUUCAGUUGAUGAACAAGCGUCUGUAUACUGUAAUUCGUGGAGGACAUGGCUUCAACUUAAAUUUCCAAUGUUAAUUCAGAAUACGUAAUGGAUUAUACUAAUGAAUUCAUCAAUCAUAAGGUGAGUCUCAUUUUACAAUUCAUAUGUCUAAUGUUCAUUUGUUAAUAUUUAUUUAUUUAUUUUAUAUGUAGAUAUUUAAAAGUAAGGAAGAGUUAAUUAAUUGGACUCGUGAAGUUGGGAGGAAAAAUGGUUUUGUAAUCGUGAUCAAGAGAUCUAAUUCUGGUAAUGGUGCUCAAAAACCAAGGAUCGCCUUUUGUUGUGAGAGAAGUGGACAGUAUAGAAACACGAGAACAAAUGAAGAGAAUAAAAAAGAAAAGCAACCAAGGACUACUGGCACUAAGAGAUGUGGAUGUCCCUUUACAUUAAAUGGUCAUAAGUUGGACACUGAUGAUGAUUGGGUAUUAAAAGUAGUAUGUGGCGUACAUAAUCAUCCAGCUACUGAGCAUCUUGAGGGGCAUUCUUAUGCAGGAAGAUUGUCAAAAGAAGAGACUUUGUUGUUAAUUGAUAUGUCCACGAGUAUGGUGCGUCCAAAAGAUAUUUUAUUGACAUUGAAAAAGAAAAAUCCCAACAAUGUCUCAACAAUAAAGAAUAUUUAUAAUGCAUGUCAAAGGUAUAAGGUAGCAGAGAUGAGUGGGAGAUCACAAAUAAGUUAUUAAGUAAGUUAUCUGAACACAAAUAUAUUGAGUGGCAUAGAAGCUUGAUAAUACUAAUAUUGUCAAAGACUUAUUUUGGGCGCAUCCUGUCAGUAUAGACUUGUUGCAUGCAUUUCCAUGUGUCUUGCUGAUGGAUUGCACUUACAAGUGUAAUAUAUAUAAUCUUCCCCUACUACAAAUUGUGGGAGUGACAUCUACUGAGAUGACAUUUCCUGGUGCUUUAGCUUAUCUUGAAUCUGAGCGAGAAGACAACUACACAUGGGCAUUGACUAGAUUAAAAAGUGUAUUGGAUGUUAGUGCUAUGCCUAGAGUCAUUCUUAGUGAUAGAGACUUAGCUUUAAUUAAUGCCAUUGAAAGAGUAUUUCCCAAUGCAAAACAUUUGUUAUGUAGAUGGCAUAUAAAAAAAAAAAUGUAAUUGCAAAGUGCAAGAAAUUGUUCUCAACAAAAGAGAUAUGGGAGAAGUUUAUGAUGAGUUGGAAUGUAUUAGUAUUUUCUUCUAGUGAAGGUGAAUUUAUUACUCGCCUCAAUGCUCUGCAGCAAGAUUUUAUAUCCUAUCCACAAGCAAUCGAGUAUGUGACAUCUACAUGGUUGGAUAAAAUAUAAGGAAAAUUUUGUUUCAGCAUGGACAGACAAGAUCAUGCAUUUCAGAAACUUAACAACAAAUAGGUAUAAUUUUAUUUUCAUGCACCACUUCAUAGUUAGCUUAUCAAUUUAAAAUUAAUAUAUAUUAAUAAAUUUUUAAUUUUUAUUACUAGGGUGGAAAGUUCACAUUCGAGGCUUAAAAAGGAUCUUGGCACGAGUCAAGGUAAUUUUGAGACAUCUUGGACAAAGAUCCAUUCUUUAUUAGAGUUAUUACACACGAACAUCAAUGCUUCAUUUGAAAAAAGUUUGACAAUAGUACAACAUCAAUUCAAACCUCCUAAAUUUAAAGAGCUUCGAGGCUUUAUUUCUAUAGCUGCAUUGCAAAUGGUGUUAACUGAGUCAAAGCAUGUUAAUUCCAUUGGAAUUGAUGUGUCUGCAUGUGGUUGUACAAUUCGUAGUACACAUCGUUGACCUUGUGCUCAUGAGAUUGAGAUUGCAGAAUAUAAAAGGGAAAGUCAACCUAUACCUUUAGAAUGUAUUGAUUCACAUUGGAAGAAACUUGACUUGAUUCGUAAUCAUAAUAAGAGAAAGGCAGAGAUGAGUUACCGAUCGAUAUUUGACUUGAUUGCCAAACGCUUUAAUGAGAAUGAUGAUUAUACGAAGUUACAUAUUCUACAAAAGUUGACAGAAAUUGCUAAUCCUUAGUCUACAUCUCUUAUAGAACCAGAAGCUGAGAAAAAUACACGUGGUCGACCAAAUUCAAAAGCUAAUGCAUCGACCCGUCAUGACCCAUCUUCUUUUGAGAUUGUUUUAUCUGGAAAAGAAAUUUGUUCACCUACAAUUGUAUUCAUGAGACCAACAGUGAAAGUUAAUGGAAAUAAGCAUCCAAAGCAAAAGGUAUUAUUUUAAUUGUAUUAGAAUUAUUAUAUAUAUUAGCAAAAGGUAUUGUUUUAAUUGUAUUAGAAUUAUAUAUACACACACGCACAUACACUUAUUUCUUAACUAUAGUUUGUAUUUUCACAUUUUUUUUCCUCACAUUUGUUGCUAGGUGUAUAAAAAAAAAAAUCGCUCAAGUCAAAUCCAUUUGUUAAUGAAUUUCCAGUUGCAUUACAAUCAUACAUUCAUCAUAUUAAAGAUGUCGCACCUGAUGGUAAUUGUGGGUUUAGAACGAUAGCCGACUUAAUGGGUUUUGGUGAGAAUGGAUGGUUACAAGUGAGGAAAGAUAUGCUAAAUGAGUUGCAUUUGAAUAUGGAGCAUUAUAGCCAUUUAUAUAGGACAUAUGAGAGAGUCAAUAAAUUAAUUCAUGCAAUAUCAUAUUUUGAGAACUGUCCAGGAUCUGACAAAUGGAUGACAAUGCCUGACAUGGGACAUCUUAUUGCAUCAGCCUACAACGUUGUGGUAUUCCACUUAUCGAUGAAGCAAUGCCUUACCUUCCUUCCUCUUAGGUCCAACCCAAUACCUACAGAUUCUCAUAAAGAAAUUGCUAUUGGUUUUGUAAAUAACAAUCAUUUUGUAGAGGUAUUUUUUUAAUAUUUUUUUAUUUUUAUGUUGAAUUUAAUAAACAAUUCUACUAAUUGAAAUUAAUCAAACAUAUGUAGGUGUUCUUGUUACCAGGCCAUCCCAUCCCCCCUGUAGCAAUCAAUUGGCAAAGAUUUCACAGUUUUUGUGCCAAAGGAUGGGAGACGAUAUAUAAUCAUCGCAUACAACAUUUCAAGGAAAUAAUUGGUGGCGACGUAGCUACAAAAGAAGUAAUAAUAGAUGUUGACAACAAUUAUCAAUAGAUAAUUCUUUUUGGAUGAUUAAUUCUUUUUUGUAUGACUAUGAUUUGGCCAAAGGAUAUAUUGUUUAAUUGAUUUAUUUGUUUGAGUGUGUAGAGUAAUUAAGAUGAUUAAUUUAAAAAGGAUUAAGUGAGGGCUUUUUUGGCAUUUUAAAGAGUGUACAAAGUAUAAUUUAUUUUCUUAAAAUUAAUGGAUUAGUGUACAUAGUAAUAGAGUGUUCAAAGUAAUUUUUAGAGUGCAUAUAGCCCCACCUUUCUUUAAACCCUCUCUAAUAUUUGAGGGGUGCCUACUUCACUCACAUUUCGUAAGGGGUAGACUGUCUCCACUCAAUUGGCUAACAAUUGAGAGAGAAUUGAAACUAACCUCCAUAAUGCUCUUAUGGAGGCUCGAACCCGUGCACUCACUAUUAUAAGUGCAAGGCUUCUCCCAUUGGAUCAAAAGCCAAUUGAUUAUCACAUUUUUAAAUUAAAUGAGUAAACGAAAACUGUAAAUUCUAAUUUGUACAAUUUUUGAGUAUAUAAUGUGAUUAAUUGAAUAAGUCACAUGCUCUAUAUGCUUUAUUUUUCAUUAUUUAUAUCUUUAUUCAACUAAUCUUUUCUUAUACCAUGACAAUUUGUGUAAAAUAGUAAUUAAUUGCUAUCAAUAUUUUAUUUAAUUUAAAAACUUAAAAGUUUUUUACAAAACAAUUGAGACACGUUUUGAUGAUCAAUUGACAACAUUUUGGUAAUCAAUUUAUCAUUCUUGUAUAUUUUGAAGGAUAAAGUACAUCUCAUCUUAGGGAUGGCAAAAAUCCCCACGGGUACGGGUACCCUCGGGGAUUUUUCCCAUUCGGGGAGGGUAUGGAGAUAAUCUCAUACCCAAUUUCUUAUUCGGGGAAGGGACAGUGAAAUUUUUUUACCCAAUUUUUUAUUUGGGGAGGGGACAAGGAUGGGGUGGAAUAUUCAUCCCCUACCCAUUUCCCCAUUUUAAUUUUUAUUUUAUUUUUAUUUUUUAAAAUUACUAGUAAAUUUUGAAUUAUAAAAUUAUAAAUGUUGGUAAAAAUAAAAAAUAUCAAAAUAUUUAUAUUAUUAAACUUUUAAGCCUAAUUAACUAAUUAAAGUCCUAAAUUUUUAUUUAGGACAUUAAAAAGACCGGCUAGAUUAGCCCAAAAAUUUAUUUUAAUUUUAAUAUUCAUUAAAUAUUUUAAACUUAAAUCUAUUUUUUAUUUAUUUUUAGAUGUUAUAAUUGCCCACAACGAAUCACAAUUUUAAUAUCUAAUCUAAUCUAAUUUAAUAUUUGCUCUUGAUUUACUUCGACUUAACUAUUGUGUUGUAAAGGGAAUAGUCCACAUUUAUAAAGUGCCCACGCCACCAUUGAAAAAGUUAAUUUUGAAUCUAAAUUUGAUUUUAUUUGUAACAAUUUUGUAUUAGACUAUUAAUUUGUUCAUGAUAGUUGUAAAAGAAGUUUGUAUCCUUUGCAUAUUGCGUUACUUACUAAUUUAAUGUAUGUGACUUUUGUAAUGGAUAUUAAUGUAAAAUAUAUUUCAAACUUUACUUUUAUUUGAGUUUUUUAUUUUAAUAUGAUUAACUUAAAAUCGAAAAUAAAAAAAAUGUAUUAGUUAUUCGGGGAUUGGGGACCCUCAGGAAUCCUCGGGGAUCCCCUGUUAUUAUUCGGGAAGGGGAUGAAAAUUCUCUCAAGUAAUUCUGACGGAGACGGGGAGGAGACGGGGACAUACGCAAAAUAUCGAGGAUGGGUACGGAGAGAUUGGUCCCCUCCCCUCCCCUCCCCUCCCCUCCCCAUCCCAUUGCCAUCGCUAUCUCAUCCUAAAAAUUCAAUCUUGAUAAAUAAUUAACAAAGUGUUUCUCGGUAAAUUAAUUUUUAUUUAAAGAUUCGAGCAUUACUUUCCUCAUAAUGAUUAAACCAAAUUAAGUGGCUUGGGUCGACUUUUUAUACGUUAGCUUUGAGCCUCACGAACCAUCGGCUUAGGUACAGGCUUUUUUUUGGUUGAUUCCCAGUCAAGAACAAUCUUAUAUGCUCUGUUUGUGUGAAAGUGUGUACCAUGUCAUUUUUAUUGAUGUAAAUGGAAGGAUUUAGGCAGUCUAAUUAUUGGUACACCUAGCUAUAUGAUAUAAAACUAUGUAUGCCGAUAGAAUAAAUGUAACGAAUAGACUGCACUUUAACUAUUCAAUAAAAAGUAUCCACUUAUUAAGUUCAGUUUUUAAUCAUUUUUUUUUAAGUAUAAAGAGAUUGUCAAAUUAAUAUAUAUCUUUUACGCUUUUACUGUUUUCAUAAUAAUCAAUAACUUUCUGUUAUAGUAUAAUUUUACAGUAUUAUCCUUAUUUUUAAAUAUACUUUUAUUCAUAUUUAUUAUAAAUUAAAUAAAUCAUAUAAAUAGAAAUUUAAAUAAAAAAAUUAAAUGCUAAAAAUAAGCAAUAUAUAUGUUACAGUGUGAAUAAAAAAUUAACAACAAGAUAUUUUCUUAUAUUUUUAUUAUUUUUAACUAAUUUUUUAUAAUAAUAAAUAUUUUAUAUUUUCUAAAUAAAUUAUCAAGUAAAUGACUCAUUUACUCUUCUUUUUCUUAAAAAUUUUGAUGUUAAGAAAAUAUUUGAAUAUUAUGUAAAUAGUGUGAGAAUAAAUAAUAUAUAUUAAUUUCAGUUAAAUGAUGAAGUAACAAUCUCUCUUUACUACUAUAUAUUGAUAAGAUGUAGUAGUGAUCCUUGCUAUGUAUUGAAUUUGAUUAACAUUUUAGAAUAAAAUCGUGGUCUUCAUUAUGACAAGCACUCAUUACAUUUGUGUUUAAAGAGUAAUGAAUCCAAGGAGGCAAAAAUAUCGCCAUAUAUAGGGUAACACUUCGUCAUCAUGAAAUAAAAUAUAUCAAUAUCAUAAUGUCAAAUCAAUCUAUUGGCAACUAAGUGUGCGAAAUCCUUCCUUUGGUGUGAUAUGCAGAUAAAAUACUUUAACUCUUUUUUUCUUUUUUGGUUCUUCCGUGAUGUUGAAGUUUGUACAUAAAUUAAAAUUAUUUAAUUUACGUGUUAAAAAUUGUAUUUCUCUUUAAUAACGUGUUUGACCAAAUACGAGAUUAAAAAUUUUCAAAAACUCACAAUUCUACAUUAUAGGAAAGUGUUAAUAUAUAUCCUCACUUUUUUUUUUUUUUUUAUAUAUAUAGGAAAGUUCAGGAAAUUCUCUGUGGUAAGGUGUGGGUGCGAUGGUUAUAACAUCGAAAUAAAUAAAUUAAGUUUCUUAUGAAAUCAAUGAUGUAAGGGUGAUGAUUAAUGGAUUUGAUCAUGCUCAUGAGCAAAACUGGUCUUUACCCUAAAGCACAACUAAGAUGUAGAAAAUAAAUUGGAGAAAUUAAUUGGGCAAAACGGAAUAUAAUAAUUCAUUAUUAAGAUAGAUGAUUCAAAAUUCUGUCAUUUAUUCAUUCUAAUUAUACAAAUGAUUAGUUAACUUAAAAUAUGUAUAUACAUAUUACAAUUAAAAUUUAAUUAAAUUGAAAUACACUUGCUGAGAAUCAUUAAUGUUCGGCUUGAUCACGACAAAUUUGGAUCUAAUACUAUGUUGAGCUGUGCUCAAUUUAUUAUAUUUUUUUGUCACACGUACAUAUAUAGCAAUAUAUGGUUAAAGUUAAUUAAUUUAAUAUUUUUAUUAAAAAACAAUCAAUUGUAUCUUUCUAAAAAGUUAAAAAAAAAGAUCCGCUCAAUAUUGAAUCCAAAUCUAAUCACAAAACCAUAUCUCAAUUAUUUCAAUUCAAAGUAUUAGAUUAUUUAACAUUUGCCAUAUAUGGUCACUCCAGCCUUAUUAAUGCUCUCUUCGUGUAUUUGCAAAUUUUGAGAAAAUUUGAUCAUAAUUAAUCCUCUUUUUUUAAAAAAAAAAAUUGAAUUAUUAACGUUUUAAUGGAAACUUCGUGCAAAUUAACAAUUAUUGAAGCACAGUCCAAAUGUUUGAGUUCAUUGUAAGUCAAAUUAGACUCAUUUUUUGUCACUUACGUGUAAAAUCUAUUUAAGUGAUAUAGUUAAAGAGAUGGUUAUCAAAGCCAUGACCUAAACUUCAUGCGAGCAAACAAAUAUCAAUCCAGUCAUUCGGUUAACCCCUCAUGAGUAACUAACUUUUAUUUUAUUUUUGUGAACAUUUCUGCUUUAUAAUUUUGAGUUGGACUAUUGGCACCCCUCUCAUCUUCUCAUAAAACACCAUUUUUACUUAUAUUCAUUUUAUUUCCGAAAAUGCCCCUUCUUUUAGAUACACUUUUCUAAGUUCUUAAUUUUCAUUUGAUUUGAUUUAUUGUUAAAACUCAAAGUAUUGUUGUGUUAUUUUUUAAUUAUUUUUAAUUUUAUUAUUAAUCUACACACAAAUUAAAAAGUUAUAUGGGUGAUAAGUUUUUUAGUGUUAAUCAUUGGCUAAAAUAACACAUUUGUCAAAUUAUAAUUUCAAAGCAAUUUUAAGUAUAAAAAUAUUUAAUCAAUAAAAAAUCAAAAGAGAACAAUAGAUUAUUCUAAAUUUGUACAAUUUAUUUUAGCUAAAUAGGAAGUAACAUAUAUAAUUUUUUUUUUUUUUGGGAAAAGGAUUGAUUAUGAAUUAAGUAAUUUGCUGAAAAAAAUUUAUAUAUGUUUAAUUUUCAAUUGUCCUUAAUUGUAUUUUUUUUUUCAAGUGGGGUUUUGUAAGAAUAAUGUAGGGGUGCCAAUAGCUCCACUCUAUAAUUUUUCUAUAAGAUAGAUGGAUGGUGAGCAAAGUCCAAGUGAAUAUUUAACCCAUACAUUUUUUAAAAUAAAAAAUAUUAUCUGAACAUUAGUAAAAUAAUAAAAUAACAAAAACGACAACACUGUAGUAUCAUUUUGUAUGUUAUAAUAUUACUAUUACAUAAAAAAUAUUCAUAUUUUUAUUUUUAUAUUAUCUUAUUACGGUGAUCUUCCUAAAUUUAAAUUUUAUUAAUUAAUAAAAUAAAACUACUUAAAAAUCUCUUAAAAAAACUUCCUUUUGAGCACAUUUCUCUUUUACAUUUUCAUGAGGAAAAAAAAAAUCAACAAUUUCUAUCCGACCGCAUCCCAUGACAUGUAAGAAUUUGAACCAAAAAUGUGGUCUAAAUAAAUUAUGUGACACGGCACUAUGAUUAUUUUCUAACCUUCCAUUCUAGCUACAUCGAUUUUGUGGGACUUUUCUUGAGCCCACACAACAAAUGAACGGCGGAGAAUUGUUAAUGCUACUACUAUCGUUAAACCUCAAUAUUUAUUGGAGGCUUUGCCGUAAAAUUAUGAAUUUUUUUAGUGUCUUAUGUCGCUAUAUCUACCUCUUUAUUAACUUUUCAAGAUUUUCUCUUAAUCAGAUUGUGUAUUGAGUAAAAAUUCAAGUUUUACUUAGUAGUUAAUUAAAAAAAAUUAAAUCUUACUUAUAUAUUAUCAUUAAAAGAUAUAUAAUAAAAAAUUAUUAAAAAUUUAAUAGAGCACAAAUCCCGAGAGAAUCGUAUUCUCUUAUAAACAACAAUUGUUUGUUGAUUUAUUAUUAAUUGAUCAUAAAAGAAAAGAAAGACGUAAAGGAGUACGAUGAUGCCACAUAGACACUACCGAAUUAAUAAUAGUUAAUUAACAAAAUUAUUACCUUAAAUGGAAUUUAUUUUAGCCGCUUAAUUAAUGCCUUGUUAGGAAGGAUAGAUGAAAAAUUAAAUUCGGUCAACACAGACGCGCGUCCUUGAUACAUAUGCUAAUAAGCUUUUGUCAUCCUAAAUUUUGAACUUUUUUUAAUUUUUUUAUUAAAAAAAGAGAAUCCUAUUAUUGUUUUAAUUUAUAAUAUAUUAUUUUUCAAAAUUAAAAAAAAAAAAACCAAACAAGCUUAAAAGAUUAAAGAAAUGAACAAGUAGAUAGUGUCAUAUUGAGGCCACAUUCAAAAAUUGCAUGAGCGAUUCUCUACCACAUAGAUAAAAACAAAAUAGUAGCUUACAAUUAAUUAAUUGUUCCUUUAAUCUGGACAUUGAACCUUUCAAGAGGGUAUAUUGAUUAUUGAUGGGUCCAUUAAAUGAAUGAGUUUAAUGUUGUAUCUCUAUCUGUGAUUGCUAGCUAUCUAGGUGAAGGUUACCAAAUUAAUUUUUGAUCGUCUUCCAUACGUAGCAAAUAGAUUUUGAUGGCUAAUUAAUUGUGGGUCCCCUAAAUGGGGUUGAAGUUGGGAAAUAAGAAUGCGCUUGAGAUUGAGGUUGGACAGUUGUAUAACACUAAAAUAUUUAGUAAACACUAACUGCUGUAUCUUGUAAACUAUGUUGAUAUGAUUUUUCAUUUGUAUAAUGAAAAAUCUAUUAUAACUUUAAUAAUUUUGUCAAAAUUAUUAUUUAAAAUUUAUAUUUACUACAUAUUAUUAAUUUUUGUUUGAUAGUUACAAUUUUUUUUUCACAGCAAGUAUAAGUUAAAAGUUACACCACUUUAAUUCCAAACGAGACCUAAAUUAAGGUAAUCUAUGAAUACAUUUACUGUAUAUAAUAACAACUUUGUUUAACAUUAACUAUACGAUAUAUAAUUUUUUAAGACUUUAAUAAAAUCUAAGAUCUUAAAUUAGAUAAGUACUCCAUAUAUAUAUAUAUAUAUGAGUCUUGCUUCCACAGUAGUGAUCAAGGCAUUCUCAAAUGUUUGCCAUCUUGUGUCCAGGAUGGCAACAAAACACGUAACAUCUUUUCCAGCCAGGAAUAAUGGUUGUAAUCCUAUCCCAUGCCUUAUGUCGAAUGGUUUGACUUCAAUUGGCCUUGUGUACUUGUGGUUGUAGAAGCCUUCUCCACUUGCUGAACUGGUCUGAUUUAUAGCCGUAGACUCUUCUGUUUCCCUUGGAUUCCUCUAUCAACAGUGCUCCCCAAUAAUGGUCACUAGCAUCUGUCUGUAAGAAGAGCUGUCUAUUGUCAUGUAUCUUCAAUGGCGAAAGUGAUUGACACUUUUGUUUUAGUUCCAUCACUGCUUUUGUCGCUUCUUAUACAUAUAUACACACACACACACACACACACACACAUACAUGGGCUACUUCUAUCUUAUCAGAGCGCUCACUAAUACCUUCUAUCUUAUGGCCUGCGCUUGGCAAUAGGCCAAUUCAAGCUUGAGCUUGGUCAAGAUCUAGCCUAACACUGUGACUAAAAUGAAGCACCUUGUUCUUUAAAAAGCUCGACCCUUCAAACUAAGGGUCAUGUUUGGGAGCUGAUGAUAAUUUUUUUUUUACAUUUUUUUUAUUUUUAGAUUCUUUUUUAGAAUAAGACUCUAAUGCUUAUUUUUCUAAUUAAUAAUAUUGUAUUAUUAUUGUUCCAUUUUUACAAUAAAUUUGGUUGCAAAGAAUUUAAUAAAUUAUUUUUUAUUUAGCUUUGACAACAAUACUACAUGCAACAAUAUAAUCAAAUUAACAAGUAAAAUAAAUUAAAUAUAAAAUACUAAAUUAAUACAUAAUAGAGGUAACUGUUAGUAGAUUUUGAGUUGUGAUCACACGUGUCGUGAAAGUAUUUUAAGUGUUUCAUUCUUCUAAUUUUAAAAGUUAAUUUAAAUGUAAUCAGAGUGUAAUCGAUUGACCGGAAUGUAAUCAAACUUGAUCCUUAAGCCUUGACUCAACUCUUGACCCCUUAAAUUCAGGCCAAAAAACCUAAAAAUUAAAGUCGGAUUAAUUGAGCUAAGGACUGGGGUCAAUUCUUUUUGCCAACCUACCAUAACCUAUAAAUAAACAUUUCAAAAUUGAUUUUCAUCAGGACAGUGAAGUAGCGUGGGCAAAUUUUAUUUACCAAAAAUAAUUUCAGCUUUUUACUUGAGCAUUUUCAUUUAAUUUUUGUGUCUAAUGCACUCAUUUGACGCAAUUUUAUUGAUGAAAAAUGAAAUCUUUGUCCUAACGGUUUGUAAUUUAUUCAAAGUCUAUGGGGCACAAGUAAAAAAUUUUACCAUAAGGCAAAUAAAAAAUUCACUUGAAAUUAUAAAAAACAAUGUUGUUAAAAAAAUUAUACUCGGUGUAGACACCAUAAUACAAUUACACCAUCGAACUACUAAUGAAGAAUAGUUACACCUUGUGUAUGUAAAUGCAACAACAAUUAAUAAGAUUAAAAAAUAGGAACACAUGCUCGAUUUGCACAUUUCAAUAUAAUUAAAUCUCUCCCUAACUGGAACUCACUUAUGACGGAUAAUCUUGAUAAAUUUUUAAUCAUAAAUAUCAGUAGAAUUCUAAUUAUAAAAUAUCAACAUAUAAAAAUUAAAAGGAAAAAAAAACUCCCUUUCGAACGUUUUCUCGGCCUCCAGAUUCUGUUAGAUUUUCUGCCCUUAAUUAAUUAGAACUUAAGAAAUAAUAAUAACUGUACAAAUGCCAUCAAGCUUAUUAAGAUUACAACAACAUUCUUAACUAACCAUCAAUCAUCAGCUAAACCCAUAUUGCAUGAAUCACACGAAGCACAGGUAGCAAAAAUGGCACUGUUGUGGCAACUCCAAGUCGAAUUAGCAGAUGUACCGUGUUGUCAAUUAUCAAUGACUAAAUGAAAGAAGAAGUUAGCUCACCAAAUUUUGCCCCAGUCUGCGAGCAACAAGUGAGGGAGCAACUUAUUACACCAAAUAGGGGUUUCGCCUAAUUCAACAAUAGUCAGAACAUAGAGCUGUAAACAGCUAUUCAAUUCAUUUUUUGCAUUUGUGUUGGUCAAAGAAGAAAAAUCAGAGGUAAUCAAACAAAAGAAAAGCCAAUUGAGGGAGCAACUUACCAGGUUUUCAUUGAGUUAUACACUUAUGGCUGAUUCAACAAUGGUUUUACUUUCAAACCUUUUUUCCUUCCACAACUGCCAAGCGUUUCGGACUUCAUCCAGCUGCUCAUUUGGAAUGCUUGUGAACUUCUCCAAAUUCUCAAUCCAUUCCGUCCAUGGAGAUUUUGUUGCAUCCAAGAAUUUUGAAACUUCAGGAAGCGUCACAGAUGUGUAGAACUCAUCAACCAUCUUCAGGAUUUCCUCUGAUUCAACCAUUGUCUGCAUUUCCGGUCUGGUCACACCAGGCCUUGUUCUCACAGAAAAACUGUUUGCCCUCAAAAACAAAACUUCAGAUGGAGCCAAGGGUAGGACAAUGCGAGAGUGCUUUGCCAGAGAUAAUGUCAGAAUAUCUCGUGGGAGUAACUUGCGCUUCACUGCCACAGCAGUCCCAACCAUUUUGCGGAUCUGGUGAGCACAUAUACAUCAGCAUUAAGGUCAGAGAUUAAUGGUCAAACGAAUAGUUAAAAGUACAGACUAUGAAAUCAUAUUUACUAAAGCAAUUCUUGAAUAAGCUUGCCUGAUGCAACAUGAAGGAUUCUCCCGAUAUGGAAAUUUCAACAUAACCAAAUCCAAGUGAUUUCUCCAGCUUCCCACAAGAACAGCUAAAAAUCUUUCGGAAGUGGGAUGCACUAAGUUUAUCUGCCUCAUCAGUUUCAUACAACCAUCUUGCACGAAUGACUGAACUCGAGUUUUGAUCUUUCAAACCAUUAGCAUGCUGAUUGCAGCAGUCUUCUUGGUGCACUCCAGACACCAUAGAAUUUUGAUUUGCUUUCUCAUCAUCUGAUGAAAUUUCUCCUCCAAUCCCUAAAUCUUCUUCUCCAUCACUUUCUUCAACCUUAGAAAACCCAUCUUCUUCUCCCUCACUUUCUUCAACCCUGGAGAACACUGCAUCCUUCGAUGCUUUUGCUCUUUUUGACACACGUCCAGUCUUAUGGGGUUUUCUCCUGUACUUGGAUCGUUCUGUAUAAUUAUGGAAAGGAUGUUCUCCCUAUUCAAAGGGUUAACCCCAAACAAAAAAAAAGAAAAAAGAACAAGCCAUCUUCAGCUGCAUGAAACCGAUUGUAAAGUUACCACUCAACCCAAAAGCUUUAACAGUGAACCAACUAAAAACAUAGCUUUUCAUAAUUAAAAUUUCUAUGCUAGGAAGAAUUGAAUAUAAGACAACUUUGCUAACUUAGCUUUAAUACCAUGUAGAACAAGCUUAGAGUUGAAAUGCUUAUGCUUCUACACACAAAAGCAACAAAGAACAUGCAUAAGUUAGAGAAAGCCAGCAUCCUAACAGGGCUUUUAAAGAUGGAAAUGUGAGAAAUCUACUGAAUCAACAACAAAUACCACACUUAUGUUUGGAGCACAAAAGUUAUUGUUUGUCUCAAAAACUGUGAAUAACCAAAUGUCCGAAUCACGUCAGAAAAUCUGAACCUGAAAUACCUGCUACAACCACAUUGAAAUUCUGUCAACGAUAUAAAGAAAGAUUCCAGAGCGAAUUUUGAUUCGACGUAAUUGGAAAAUGCUAGGCCUACUGGGAUCUUAUAAGAAUCAGUUAUGGUAGUCUAAAGUGACUGGCCAAAAAGGUCUUGACUGUUUAGUUCCAUGAGCCAUUGUUCUGGUUAACAUUUUCGAGAAAUCUGUUUCCGCUGUAUUAAAACUAUAUGUAGGCAUGAAAGUUAUUCUUUGAGCCAUGAAUGAAACAAUUAAAAAAAAGUUCAGCUUUCUAAACUAUGUGACUGUAAGAUGCAAAUCAUGCAACGUGUGAUGCCAAAGGGGAAAUUAAGACUCUAUUUGCGGUUGUGGUUUGGCAGCAAAGCUGCUUUUGAUGCAAAGCAGAUUUUACCCCACACUCCCACAGCUGUUGAUGAAACACCUAAAUUAGCCUUAAUAAUUUAUAAAAAUAAUUACUUUUUAUUUAUUUUAUUAUUAUUUCUACUUAUUAUAGAAAUAAAUUAUUAAACACUAAACCCAAAAGCAACAGCUAUCACUAGCGUCCACCACAGACCAUUGCCACCCACUGGUUGUACAUAUCCCUUGAAGUUACUGUUGGUACCGUUGAAAUCAUCAUCUCAUUUACAAAACGGUAUAAACAUCAUAAGCGAUUGAUAAUCAUUCACCGGCAAAUGGCGAUAUAAGCGUUGGUCACCAUAUAAAGCCACCUUUAACCACAACAAUAUGUACUACACUGCCCGUACAGAUUUAAAAAGUAGAUGCUGCUUAGUAGAAGGUGUUGCUUUCUCGCUCGCUGUCAUCAAACUGCAGCAUGAUUGGUUGUUUGACUUUGUAUCCCCAUUUCUCAGCAAACGAGUCCUCAAAGAUUGAUAAUAUCAUAUCAUUGUGGUAAGCGAGAGAUAAGGUUCCAACAGUACCGACAAUGAAAAUUAUGAUAUUUAUUAAAAUUAAAGAAGAAUAUUGUGCAUUGUACAAAUUAUGAUAUUUAAUAAAUAAUAUGAAUAUUGUGCAUAAGAUAAAUUUUUUGAUAUAUAAUAAAUAUAAUAAUAUAAAUUGUUUUUGAAGUUGCAAAAUUUACCAACUUCAAAAGCUGUGUUUACCAAACACCUAUCGACACAACUUGUGCUCUCUUUUCAUAGCACCAUGAACCUGAAUGGAACCUAAGUGACUAAGUGUGAUGCCUAAAUCAUCAUCCUUUAUAUACAACUUAUUUCACAACAUCCUCUAUACCUUAAUUAGUAGCCACAUUCAGUCCUAAAUUCUUUUCAAAUCUUCCAUUCUACACAAAAAUUCCUACUCAUAAAUCUCUAACCAAUCACAGAAAAAGAAAAAAUUGUAAUUUUGUCCCACAUCAAUAUGCUCCUCUAGCAUAGGCUGAGAUUCAUGAUGCCAUUUCAAAUCUUCAAGAAAGCAACUUAGUCAAGUAGCAGCCAGAAAUAAUUUAAAAAAUUAGAGACGAUGAGCAGAAAAAAUGAGUAGAAGACUACAAUGCCACACCUCGAAUUCAUUUAAUAUAGCAUUAAAGUCUGAUAUAUGACUAUCGAUUUCAGCUGCUGUAAGCUGACUAUUGAUUCCAAUGACCUCAGCAGGAAGAAGGUAUGAAUAUUUCCGGAGAUUACACUCCCUUCUAGGAUCAAAGCUCCUAAAAGGAGAUACCACAAAAUUGAAUAUUAGUAACAACAGCUUAGACCAGUGAAAUUAGUAUUCAUAAAAAAUUCAGUAGACUUAUCAGAAGUCUUUGUUCAGAGAAAAAAUGCAUAGAUGGGUUAAGAUCUAAGACCAAUCAAAACAACAUUGUCCUUUGUCUAACAAACUAUUAAAAUGUUUUGGAUCAUUGGAGUUUUCUUUAUGGUCUUUUGUUGCAUGGGAAAAACUUUUUGUAAGCUUAGAAUCACGAAAAAGGAAAAUUGUCAAUCUGGAACUUAUAAAAGGUCGAUAAUGAAGAUAACUAAUAACUGAGAAAAAAAAACUAAACAAGGGAAUAAGGAAGUUUCAUGCACAUAAUUAUAACUACAUAAUCAGAGAAGAAGAAGAAAAGAAUUCAUUCAGUUUGGAAAUCAUAAGUAAAACAACAAACUCAAGGUCUCACCUCUGUGAAGGUAAAAUGCUGAAAACUUUGAUAUUUCUUGGAAGAUGAGCAUUAACGCGUUUAGCAAGAUCAAUGCCAUAGGGGUCAUCCUUCCAUGCAUCUGGAGGAAUUUCCAUUUUGAGGCAUAUCAUGGUUGCCAAGGAGUGAACCUAUAUUAUUUUGCACAAUGAUUUGAAACCAAGAACAAUAAGAAAAUGGUACAUUCCAAGGCACAUGCAAUAAGGGAACAUUCCAAAUCCAAAUGUAACUCACUCCUUUAUCUGUUCGGCUACUUCUAGCCCACGCAAUUUUCUGCAAAUUUCCGUAGUUACUCUCACGGAUCCCACCAGCCUUAAAAAGUGCAGUUUCCAAUUCCCCUUCAAUAGCUACAUUCCAAAAAUGCAAUGCUUUAACAAGAUCCAUCGAUGCUAGUGGACCCAAACACAUGACAUGAUCAAUGCCUUUAAAAGAAGUAAGAAAACCAGUCUUCAAAAUUCAAAAUAACUAAUUGUAUCAUCUCAUCAUUAGAAAAUGCAAGAAACCUAUGGGAUUAUAAGAUCUGGAUCAGUGUUUUUGUCUAUUCUCGCAUAAGGACAUAGUUUACCCAUUUGUUCAAAAAGCUCCCUGCCCCUACUGCAAUGACUGAAAUCAAAAUUCAAUAUAACAGGAAUAAUUUGGUCAUUUCAGCAAUGCUGAGAGACUUUUUGGGUAAAAAUCGACAUGUAUGCCCUUUAUCUUGUAAAACACAAGGAAUUUUAAAAAAAAAAAAGGUACACAAAUUUAAUUCAGAAAUUUACCAAUUAAGUGUCUUAUAUAGAAUCAUUGUCAAAAUUAGCUAUAUAACAAAAUUUCUUACUAUAAUAGCAACAUACAGUCAACUUGAACUAAAUUAUCCUUAAAACAAACCAACCAAACCCAACCAACUUGCAACUUGCGGUCGAUGGAGACCAUUGCCCGCAUGAAGUGAGGAACUCUUGCGGACAAUGGAAACCAUUGCCCGCGUGACAUGCGGGUGAUGGCUACUAUCGCCCGGAGAUCAUCACCCGCCAAAGUUGAACAACUCUUGCCCACCUCUUGCAGGCGUCGCCCCACACCUUGGGUGAUGGCAACCAUCGCCUGUGUCAAAAAGAUUUGGUUGGAUUGUUUUAAGGGCAUUUUGGUACAGAUUGGCUGUAUGUGACUACUAUCGUAGAAAUUAUGUUAUAUGGCUAGUUUUGAUAAUGUAUUCAUGAAAAUGACUAGAUAAGUAAAAUUUUCAAUUUAAUUAAUGCUCGAACAUUUUCAAAAUCAAAUAAAGAGUUAAAUAUUGUAGAAGCUUACUGGAUAACGAAUGCUCAUCUCGCUGCAUUUGCAGACCUGAAAUGCAACAACAAUAAUAAUAAUAAUAAUAAUAACAACGAUAAAAAGAGACCACUUUUAUUCAAAAUCCAAAAUUAAAAUAGAAAAGAUGAAAUUUAUUGACCUCUGUAAUCGGUGCCAACGUAACCGACGCGCAAGGCGACUUUCUUUUUGCGGACAGGUUCCCAUUUGUCGUCGGAGGAGUUUGGAGUGGGACGAGUCAAAGUACGAGAAACGGACGGUGAAGAUUUAGAUGAAGAUGAAGCGGGACAGCGGUAGCAAGAUAAAGGUAGGAGAUUGACGGCUGAGAUUUUAUUUGAGAAUCCGACGGUGGAAAGUGUCGAAGUUAUGCUCCUGGCAGACCACGGAGAGUGCAGGAGUCGAAGUGGGUAGAUGGCCAUGGAGUUUUAGAACGAGGGCAAUUUUGUUAAUUUGAUUGGAUAUGUUUUACAUACGUAUUAUUACGUCUGGAUGUUUCUAUCGAGUGCCGAGUGCGGGAACGUGAAAGACUGCCACAUGAAUAGGGCUGGCCACGGUCGGGUUGGCGCUCGACCCAUUUCAGUGAAAAGCUCAACGCAACCCGAUUCGAAGUUUAAAUUUUAACCGAUGCGGUGCCCAUUAAAAUUUAUCAUUAUGGUAAAAAAGUGAUAAAAUUUAAUAGUUGAUGUAUCAUCAUUCAUUUGUAAUAUGCCCAUCACUAUUCGAUUUCAUUUUCAUUGAAUCAAUUGUAUAAUUUUCUAAAAUAUAUUAAUUGAUUUUCUGAAAAAAGAAUUUUAGCAAUGCUUUUGGACGAUAAAUUUUUCGCAACAAAAACAUACCAAGUUCUGUAUAAUUAACUAUCGUAAGAUCAAAUUUCCAACCUAUUUUUUUUCUCUCUCUCUCUCUACUUUUCAAUUUUAUGCUGUCAAAAGAGAGCUCUCUAUUGUUUUUUUCUUAGUGGUACUUUCUUAUAGUCUUUUCCUUUUUAUUUUGUACCUUAUUCUGUCCUUUGACUAUGUGAAAUAGGUAUUUUCAUGGAGUUAGAUCCAUGUAGACAACGAUUUGUGGUGGCUGUAGUUUUUUAUUGUUGUUGUUUGACAUUAAGGUUUUUUUUUUCUUUUUUUUUUUGUUUAAAGAUUAGAGCUUCCAAGCUUCAAAAUGUGGAAAGAUAAAACAUGUAGAUUGGUCACCAAUAGAGAUCUACUACCUCUAUUAGUUGGUAGAGCUAAUGCUAGAGGCAAAGUCUCUUAAAAGGGCUAAGAAAUAUUGUUAGUGCAAGUUACUUUAAUUUAAGAGUAUUAUUAUAGUUAUGAACUCUUGUACAAAUUUAUUUAGUAUAAAUUAAUGUGACAUGAUAUAAUUGGUUGAAUUAAAUAUCUCUUGGCCCACAUUAUUUAUUUUUAUUAUUUUAUAUUUUCAUUCAACUAAUGAAUUAAUGUCAAAUCAGUUUGUACAAGAUAAGUUUAUAUAAGAAUUUGUGGUUAUAUCAUAACUCUUAAUUUAAUAUAUUGUGUGCAUGUUUAAUGGAGAUAUUUGUUUUUGAUAUUUAAUUGCUCAGUUGUUAGUAUUUUAACCAUUUGUGUAUUGCUAAUUGCUCAAUCUCUAUAAUUUUCUUUUCUUAUUUUCUCUUGUUAAAAGUAUGGAAAAGCUAUUCAGAGAGCGAUUUCAACUAUCCAAGCGGCGGAUGAACCUUUCUCAAUUUGCUUACUUUUUUGGUUUUGGAUAUGGAACCAAUGUUGUUUGUUGCCAAUGAAGAAAUUUGAUCUACUUGUUUUUAAAAGUAUAAAUUGUGAGUUUUCCCCCUUUUUAAGAUCAUUUAAUUGUUUUCUCACAUGAAAUUUAUAAAAGAUUUGUACCUUGCAAAGUGAAAGAGUUUACGAAGAUAAAAAUUAUUUUUACUUUUUAAUAAUUUUGUACAUUGACAAAAUUGAAAUUAUUAUAAAGUGAUUAAUGAGUCUACUGAGAUAAAAUAAGACGGUCAAAUAUCACUACUCUUUUUUUUUAUUAUUAUUGAAAUUGAAUUCUCCGUGUGUGCAGCCGACACUUGCUUUGACACCACACGACUCGUAUGACAAAUGGGGAUAUGUUGCAUCGGCCCAAUACGGGAUGCUGGGAUGUUGGCCAUCCUGAGAGUUAACAAACAAUCAACAUUAAUCUAUGAGGGGCUAUUUUUUUUUAAUAUUUGAAAAUAAUUUUACAUGAUUGUAAAAUAGUGCUUCUAUCAUUUUUUUUUUCAGAAGAAAGAAAUUGCAGUAAUACAAACUUGUACAACACAACAAUAAUGAUUAUAUUGACCUUAACGGUUUUUUAAACCUUAAUAUUAAUGAUAACAAACAAUAUGGUAAUUAAUGAUAACAAACAAUAUGGUAAGGAUUCAGUAGUUCUUAAAGGUCAAAAGUUAUUCAUGUGAGAUCAAGCUCAAAGAAAUUUGUGCUCAUCAAGUCAAGACUCAAAUGUGAAGAACACUAAAUUAGGUGAUGUUUCACUUUCAUAGUUCUUGUAAAACUAGUUUGGCUACAUUCAUGCGUGGUUAAGCAUUUAAAAGCUCAAGUUGAUAAUGAUCGUGACAUUCAAAUGUUUUCCAUAAGCUAUGUUUUCUAUAUUUGAAGAAAAAUGGAAGAUAAAUGUUUUAUCAAAAUGAAUUAAGUAUAUAGAUUGAUUUGAAAAAGUCUAGAAAAGUUUUGAUGGGUGGAAAAGUACAAAAAAUUUAUGCGAUCUUAAUGCUAUUUCUAAAAAUCUAAAAAAGGACCUAUAUAAUAACGUUUCAAAAGUUUUUAGGUACUUUUGUAAUUAUUAAAAAGUUUAGGUCAAAAUAUAAAUAAUGAGAAAAGCCCAAAGUGGUUAGGUAGUUUGCUUUCUAGAGGCAAAUCGGCAUGCCGAUUUUGAAUUUUAUGUUCUUAAUUGCUAGUUUUUGCUUAUAUUUAUAUAAACGAAUUUUUGUAACCGUUAGAAUGUGGGUUAAGCACAACAAUCUCUCUAUUCUCUCAACUAUAAAAUACUCGAGUUUUCACUUGCUUUCAUUCAUAAUCAUAUACAAACUUGCUUUAGAUUUGAAUAUCUACUCUUGUCAUGAGUAUAUUAUUUGUAAAAUUAAUUUCUUUCAUAUUGAGUGAGUGUUGUGAGGCACUUGAGUGUAAGAGUUGUGGGAUAUAAACCUUUGAUGAUUUGUAAAGGUAUAUUGACAUCGUGAAAACAAUUGUAAUAUUUGGAGUCUCAUGAUAUAAGUGUAUGUUCUUUUUUACCUUGUCUUUUAAUUUACUUGAUUGUAAUUAUUGUUGUUGUUGAGUGGUGGUAGUUGCUGGUGUUGAAUUGUGGUGUUAUUACUGAUGUAAUUUUUAAAACACAAUUCACCUCCUUUUAGAUUGUUUAGCAAGAAUUUCAUAUUAGAUGAUAAUAGCACAUGAAACAUAUAAUUUUUUUUUAUUUUAUAUAUUUUUUAUUUAAUCGGUAGAAUUAUGCCACAUUAAUUUAUAUAAAUAGUUUAUUUGAAAAGUUGGUGCAUCAACAAUACUCUUACUCAAUUGUAAGAGCUCACAAACAAAACCAUGCAUAUGUCUAGUACUAGGUACUUUCUCAUCUUAUUCUUAAAAGUUAAAUGAUUGAGUACUCUAAUGCGCAUUGUAAAGAAUAAUUUUUUUUUCAAAUAUUGAGAAAUAAAUUUUAUUUAUUUUAUAUCUUAAGGGUGCAUUUCGGAUAGCUGCAUUGUCAGAACAUAGUUGCUCCACUCAAUACAACUACCCUAAGGCACUUUAAAUAUCUAAAUUGGGUCAUUAUAUAGUCUCGAGGAGGAUGGCAAUGGAUAUUUCCUAAUCGGGUUUAUCAUUACCAAACCCACAUCCACAAAAAAGUUAAAUUAUCAAUCCCACCCACAACUUGUUGCGGGGUUUUGGUUUUUUUAAAAAAUCUGUUAGUUGCGGAUUUUAACAAUUACCAAAUUCACAUGUAACCCAUAACGAGUUUUGCCUGCACCCUACAGCGGCCACAGUAGCAACAUAUUUAUUUCAAAUCAUAACACCAUAUCUAGAAUUAUAAUACCACAUCCAAAAUAUUAAAUUUAUCUAAUUAUUUUUAUAAAGUAUACUUUUUCUAAUGCAUACAAAUAUGCAAUUAAAUCUACAUAGGUUAUGCUUGAGUUUUCUAUUAGAUUUCUAGCUAAGUUUAGGUAGAUUUUUAGCCAAAUCCGACAAAUUUAAGAUAGACUAAUUUCGAUAUGAAUCAAGCUAGCAACAAAAAUUAUGUAUUUUUAUAAUUAAAUACUUUUAUAAUUAAGAAGAUUAGGUUAGGUCUCGAGCAACAAAUGGCUAUUAAUAACUUGGUCUAUGAAUUUUUGUAAUUAAAUAUUUUUUAAUGUAAUUUUAAACAAUAAAAUUAUCUACGGCAGAUGAUUUUUAAAUGGAAGGACUUAGAUAAAUUUGUGGGUUUACGAGUACCGUAACAAUCCCGUCUCGAGUAGACUAAAAAUCUGGAGAGAAAUUUAGCCUAUAUAAACAGACUUCAAAUAAAACGGUCCAAAACUUGCAAAGGCCCAAUUUGAUAAAACAUUGGGGAAUUCUUAUCUCACCAGUCCUCUUGUCCUCUUCUUGACACGCACGCUAUCUCAUUGUUUCAACUCUCCCUUCCUAUCUUCCUCUUCUCUUUCUUCUUCCUUUAUUUCUUCGUUAAACCCUAUUACCCCUACACACACACACACUCACUCACUCCCACUCCCUCUCUCAUCUCACCAAAACGACAUCGUCAGAGGGAGGCAGCCAGCAAUCAUGAACAACUCUU